RNAcentral lists this long non-coding RNA (51514 nucleotides) under Lactuca sativa (garden lettuce). RNAcentral describes it as "long non-coding RNA (LSAT_LNC000191)". Lineage: Eukaryota; Viridiplantae; Streptophyta; Magnoliopsida; Asterales; Asteraceae. The record is from RNAcentral.
AAAUAUUAAAUCAAACAUGCUAGGUUCAAUCAAUCAAACACAAGUCAUAACCAAAAAGUAAAUCAAAACUAAAGUAUUGAAACCAUGAGUUCCAGCUUCAUCUAGCUAACAGAAGCAGCUAGAUUUAGCUGGACAUACUAGCAAACAAACAUAAACAAAUCAUAUUCAAAGACAUAUUUAAAUGUACCAAACUAUUAAGCUAAUAAUGAACUUCUCCUUCUUCCUUGGUGUUGAAAGCCAAUUCCAAACGUUUUCUCCCUCUGGAUUUUGUCUCCAGGAACCCUCCAAGUUGUCCAAAAGUCCCUCAAAGUCGUAAUGAUCAAGAGAAUAUAUAGUUAUCAUAAAAUUCACUCUCACGUCGUGAAUGAGUAUGACUCACGACGUGAAUGCAGUAGAUAUCUGUGUUCUACAAGGAUUCCUCCUCCGCGAUGCUUAUCUUCUGGAAUAGUUCCAUUCACGUCGUGAAUAGUUAUGACUCACGACGUGAAGUUAGCAGAUUACAGGGAUUUCCUCUUCUUUCAUUCUCCAAGCCUCCAAAGUUCCAUGCUUUGUCAAUUUCAGUCAUUUUCUCCCAAAAUACUUCAAUUUGGCUGCAAAGUACAAUUAAAGCUUAUAAGCAUCAUUAUUUAAUGCAAAUAACCAAAAUAUUAAUAAAAAUGUAAGUAAAUAUUGCCCAAAAACAUGUAUAAAUAUGGCAGUAUCACCCUUCUUCACGAUCUCUGUUCAACGCCGCACGUCUGGUCAGUAGUGGAGCUGGCUUUGGCGGUAACAUGUAUGUAACAUAUCGAUACAUCAUACCCACGAACAUAUCAUUCUCGUCGAUAUCAUGAUUAUAUGGAUGAAACGGGUCAAAAGGUUCCAUUUUUUUUUUGUAAAUAGAAAUAUAGAAAAUAUAUUAAACUUGAUAGAAAUGUGUAUUAGAGAGAAUUAGAUAAAUUUUCUAUGUAAAGAUAAGUUAGAAUGUGUGUGUGUGUGUAUAUAUAUAUAUAUAUAUUAAAGUAAUUUUUUUUAUUAUUCGUGACCGUUCCACAUCGGUCAGAAAGUAGACCGUUUAUCCCGUUUCGUCCCGUUAUCACCCACACACCGAAUAUCGUAACGCCAAAAAAACGUGUACCUGGAGGCGGUGUUUGCACCGUUAUACCAACAUUUUUUGAUGUACACGUCGGAUUAACGGGCACUUCGGUUGCCCAUUCCGAGUAGUCUAAAUGUCAAAAUGCAAUGAAGAAAAAGAUUCAUUACAAAUGUCAAUUAUAAGUAUGUAGAAGGAUAAAAUAUAAAAAAGUUAUUAUCUUUUGGGAUAUACACAGUAAAGUCCCAAUAUUUUCAUCGAUUUGACAAGAAAAUCCUGAACUUUAUUUUUUUGACAGUAAAGUCCAAAUUACCGGCAGUUUUUGACACUUUUACAUUUUUUUCCCGAUUAGCCGGUAAUUAGGACUUUUUUGUCAACAAAAUAAAGUUUAGGACUUUCUUGUCAAAUCGUCAAUUAGGACUUUACUGUUAAAAAAAAAAAUAAAGUUUAGGACUUUUUUUGUCAAAUCGUUGAAAAAAUUGAGACUUUAGUGUAUAUAUAAUUUUUUUGGUUAGAAACUUAAUGAUAUGAUACUCUUUACGCAUAAGAGUUAUUGAAACAUUCUCUAAUCAGCUAGAUCAUAUUGAAAUCCUUUACGUUUGCUUCUUGUUAAAUCGUUAUUUUAAUCUCAACAAACUGACAUUGAAAAAAAUUGAGAUAAUCAAGAAAGAAAGAAAGAACCAGGGUUGUGUUGGCUUUUUGCAGUCUCAAAAAUGGAGAAAUUAGAAACCUACAAAAACGAAAAUGCCCUGACUUUUUACAAAUACAAACAACACGUGCCUAGUCAAAAUGGUGUGAAUGUGGAGAAGGGAAAGAAGGACAAUUUCGUUUUUUUCGGUUUCUUAUUUCUCCAUUUUUGGGGUUGCAAAAAGCCAACACAACCCUGGUUCUUUCUUUCUUUCUUGAUUAUCUCAAUUUUUUUCAAUGUCAGUUUGUUGAGAUUAAAAAAACGAUUUAACAAGAAGCAAACAUUAAUGAUUUCAAUAGAAUCUAGCAUAUUAGAGAAUGUUUCAAUAACUCUUAUGCUUAAAGAGUAUCAUACCAUUAAAUUUCUAACCAAAAAAAUUAUAUAUACACUAAAGUCCCAAUAUUUUCAACGAUUUGACAAAAAAAGUCAUAAACUUUAUUUUUUUUGACAGUAAAAUCCUAAUUGACGAUUUGACAAGAAAGUCCUAAACAUUAUUUUUUUUGACAAAAAAGUCAUAAUUACCGGUUAACCAGAAAAAAAUGGUAAAAAUGUCAAAAACUGUUGGUAAUUUGGACUUUACUGUCAAAAAAAUAAAAUUUAAAACUUUUUAUCAAAUCGAUGAAAAUAUUAGGACUUUAUGGUAUAUAUCCCUUAUAACUAAAUAGCAACUAUAAUGUGUGGAGUUUGGUAAAUUCCGCUUGGGUUUGGUCUCUACAACCCAUUCAACCCCAAGGCUAUUCUAGUAAUUUCCCCACUAGAAGGAGCUAGGUUCCGCUGCCUUUUAAGUCUAGGUUUUCACUAUCAUCACUCUCACUCAUCGUUUUGUGGUUUCCUGUGGAGAAGAGCAGCAGAUACUCAACAACUUGCAGGCUCUAUUUUCUCAUCGCCAUCAGGUAUCUGUAGGUGUCCUAAAAUCUACGGUUAGGGUUUUGUUAGCACAGUAAUUCAUGGAAAAUGUUGAAAUCUCACUUGUUACCGUCGAUUCAAUCUUUAUUUUUUAGGAAAAAACAUCGGUUCACCAUAUCGUUAUAAUUGUUAUGAUGAUUUUGGUAUCAUCGAUGAAGUUUUAUGUGUUAUGUUUUCGUUGUAAGCUGGAUGUUUCAGGAUGUUUGAUGAUGUGUGCGAGAAUUUCAUUUUAGGGUUUAUGGUGUAUGUUUGCUUUCUUAAAUAGCGUCUACAUGUUAGCUAAUAUAAAUAGUUACCUUGAUGUUUAUAUAUUGGUUGCCACUCGGCUUCUUCAUCUUUGAAAACAAUGCGAUUAGACCCCCCUUAGGUUUGGAUCUAUGCUUAGAUGUGGAUUGUGUAAUUUUUCUCGUGAAAACUAUUGGAUAAACUUGCUUCGUUUUUUGCACCAUGGAAAGCUUAUUUAUGAUUUAAGCCUGGUUCCAACUUUGUUUGUGGGGUUAAUUUGCUACUUUUAAUGUCUAUAUGUAAAGUAUCAGUUGCUCUCUUUUAGGGUUUAUGUUUAGGUGUCUUAUUACCUCGACAACAAGCAAUGGUGAUGGGAUUAGAUCAUAUGUGAAGUUCUUUUGGGGUGCAUGGAUUAUUGCAUGUGAUGCCCUAUAAUAGUUUUAAUAUAUCAAUGGCUGUAAAUUAUCUGUCCAUAUUAUGCUAUGGUUAUCUGUCUAUUAAACUGUUUUCUUUUUGAACAUGUAAUGUGCAGAAAGAGUGCUUUGAGGAAUGCUGGAUUGAUUGGUCCCAAAUACAAAGAAGAUGAGCAAGAAGAACCCAUUUGUAUACUUGGAUGUGUCUAUAGAUGGAGAUCCUGUUGAAAGGAUGGUUUUUGAGGUCUUUAUUAUAGCUUUAACCUUCUAAGAUCUUUCUUUUAUUCUUUUUUCUGCCAGAUGGCAUUGCCACAUCACUUAUUAUCAAGCUGAAAAACUAAUUCCUUUUAUAUGGUGUUACAGCUAUUCUCAGACACUGUUCCCAAGACUGCUGAGAACUUCCGGGCACUUUGUACUGGUAAAAUGUUCAUCAUAAUUGGUAUUCUUUUUGUCAUAAGUUUAUAAAACUGGAUGCUUUUUUAAAUUUCAGGAGAAAAAGGGAAUAGUCAGAAAACCGGGAAACCCCUACACUACAAAGGAUCCUUCUUUCAUCGCAUAAUCAAAGGAUCCAUGGCUCAGGUAUGUUUUCUAUCAAUUACUUUCAUAAAUUAUAUUGUUUUUUUUUUUUUGUUUUGUUAUUUUAUUUUCCACUUAGUUUCUUCUAGUUCUGGAUGUCUUGGUGGUGGUCUGUCUUUUUAGUCGGCUAUCCUUGUUUAAUCUGUAGGAUACAGGGUUGAUGGUUCCAACUGCUUUUCUUGUGAUGUAGUUUUUAAGGUUGUAAUUAUUUGGUUGUAUUUGUAAUAUCAUCACAUUCAUUCUGAAACAUAUCAUACAAAAUUUACAAAUCCAUCUUUCUGCAAUGAUUUCUGAAUAUAAUUUCUAUAAGUGAAUUAAUUCUUUGUAUUUUUUUUUUGCAGGGUGGGGAUUUUUAUAAACGUGAUGGUAUGUACAUUUUGCCACCAAUUUUUUUUAAUUUUUGUAUACAAAAUCCAUAUCUCAUUGGUUUACUUUUGCAGGAAGUUAUGGAGAAAGCAUAUAUGGAGGGAAGUUUCCAGGUGAGAAAAGUCACUAUGUUCAUUACUUGUGUUUUCUGUUUGAAUGUUGAUGAUCAUAAAUACAUAAUAUGUCUUUAGGUAGUUGAGGAUUUCAUUUAAUUUGUUUAAAAAGUGUAUGCAAAAGAAAUUGAAAUAAACCUUUUAGCUUCUAUCUCCCCAAAAUUUCUAUAUAUGUUUAUAUUUUGAGAGAAUGGGUUUCCUUUUUGAAUUGCCUGUGAAGGUGGGGGCUGACAUUGGUCUUAUUCUCGGUGCAUGGGAGCUCAACCCACAAUGAAAUGGGCAAAUUGUAAUUGUCUUGAAAAAUGGUGGGUGUAUGAAUAUUUUGUGUGCCUUUCUUUCUAGGUUUGAAAUCUUUGGUAAAAUACAAAGUAUUUGGUUUGGAUGAUUUAUGCAGCUAGUUAAGUCUAAUGUAUAAUGUAUGCUUUAUAUUUAUGCCCAAUACAUUGUCAUGAGUUUUUUUAUCUGGCUUUUUUUCCAUGUUAAGUUCCUGGCUACCUUAUUAUUAUUAUUUUGAAUUGGUUAUAAUCAAAAUUUGUUACAUUUCAGAUGAAUCCUCCAAACUGAAACAUGAUGCUCCUGGCCUUCUAACAAUGGCAAUUGCUGAUCGUGAUUCACGUGGCUCUUUAUUUAAUGUGACAUUUGGCGCUAAUCGCCACCUGGAUAGGUUUGCUCAUCUUUGUUGUUACAAUUUUAUGUUGGACAAAUUGAUAGAAAUAGCUACAUACCUUACUUUUGUUAUGGUUACAUAUUGCUAUUAUUGAUAAAAAAAAAGUGUUAAGUAUGUUGCUAUUACGGGUAAAAAAAUAAAUACACUGCAUGUAUUGGUAUUUCCUACAUGUUAUCUUUUUAUAUUUAUCUGAAAAGUUAGAGUUUUAGCAACAUUAACUGUCUAACUUUUGAUGGAAAAGGAAAUUUAAGUGUUGGAAAUGGAAUUUCUUGAACAGGAAGUAUGUUAUUUUUGGAAAGCUUGUUCAAGGACUUGAUGUAUUGAAGAAGAUAGAAAAUGUGGGUGAUGAAGAUGGAAUGCCAACUGUGACAGUGAAGAUCAUUUAUUGUGGGGAAGUAAACGAGAGUGAGAAUCAAAGCUCUGGUAUGGUGGAUAAUUAUUGCAUUUUUAAUGACAUAAUUGUUUGUUUAUUUUUUUAAAAUAAAGUCUCUGUUUUUGAUGUUUUUAUAGAUAAGAAGGCAGCCAGCAAGUUGAAAAGUGGGAAAGAUGUUUCUUCAGAGGUUCACAGCCAUGAAGUGAAGCGGAAGGGAAAGCACAAGAAAUCUUCAAAAGAUAAAAGGAAGAAAAGAAAAAGAUAUUCUUCAUCUGAUUCAGACAGUUCAUCUGACAUGGAAUCUGACUCAUCUGAUUCGGAUAGUGAUUCCGACUCUGAUGAUUCAUCCUCGUCAUCAUCUGAUGUCAGCUCUUCAAGUGAUGACAGGCGUAAGAGAAAAAAGAGAUCCAGAAAGGAUCGACACAAACGUGGAAAAAGAAAGGACAAAAAACGCGAGAAGAAGCGUAGGAGACGCGAUAAGAAAUCCAAACGUAAAUCAAAGAGGUUGGUAUGGUAUUUUAAUUUUAGUUAAACCUUAAAUAAAGUAAUGUUUUAUUCUUUAUAAAAGUUAUUAUAUAUCAUUUUGUAGGGUGUCUGGUAGCGGAAGUGAGAGUUCAAGUGAAAGCGAACAUGCGUCUGAGGACAAUAAUGGUGAUGUCAAAAAGCGAAACCGGAAACAUAAUAAUAGUAAUAAUAAAUCUCCUACAGCUGAAUUUGAAGAUGGUAAAACAGGAGAUGCAUUUGCAUUUGAUGGACAUGUAAAGGAGGAAGAAGGUGAAUACCCGAAAGAAAAUGGUGGGGACCGCCCAAGCAAUGGUGUUGACCUGGCGAAGGCUGAUAUAGUCGAUGACCAUCUCGGAAACUCUAGGUUCAAUCAAAUUUAAUAAAACUUUAUUAUUAUUAUUAUUAUUAAAUUCUUUCUAAUCUUAUUUUUUUUUUACUAAACAGAAGUAGAAGCAAAAGUCCUCCUCGAAGGGAAUUGAGCAAGAGUAUGAGUAUUAGCCCAAGGAGGAGUCAAAGUGUUAGUGGGACCCCUCCUAGACGGGCCCCAUCACGUAGCCCGGUCAGAAGCGAAAGCAGCAGCAAGAGUCCGGUUAGAAGCAUAAGCAGAAGUCCAGUGAGGGGCAAAAACGUCAGAAGCAUAACUCCCUCACCAUCACCUCCACGAAGGAGUGUUUCUAGAAGCCCACUGCGAACAUCGUCUAGAAAAUCCUCACGAAAAUCAGUAAGCAGAAGUCCGGUUAGAUCUUCCAGAAGAAGCUACAGCAGAAGCCCAGUCAGAUCAUCUAAAAGAAGCUUGAGCAGAAGCUCUGGUAGACCGCCUUUAAGAAGAAGCCCUAGCAGGAGUCCGGUCAGACCGCCUAUGAGGGGUGGUCGCCGGAGCUAUUCCAGGAGUCCGGUAGGUGGGCGUAGGGCGGCUAGGUCACCGGAGAGAAGCUUGUCUAGAAGCGCUUCACCUGAUGGCUCUCCCAAACGUAUCAGAAGAGGACGCGGUUUCAGUAACCGAUUUUCUUACGCACGCCGAUACCAUUCUCCCGAUCGCUCCCCGGUCAGAUCUUAUCGCUAUAGAAGUGACCGCGACCGUGACCGUGACCGGUAACAAACUAACAGCUAGCAAUUUUAAAUUAAGUUUUUUAAUAUAUUUAAUAUAAAAACAAUUAAACCAAUAUUUUGGUUUGUAGUUAUUCAAGCUAUAGAAGGCGCAGCCCACUGAGAGACAGAAGUCCACCAAGGUAUUUUGGAGUAAUAAUGGAAUCUUUUUUUUUGGUGAGAAAGUGAUUAUUUGAUUGUUAAAUUCAAUUAUUUACACAGGUACAGAGGGAGAAGAAGCAGGACACGGAGUCCGAGUGUGUCCCGGAGUCCUGUCCCUGUGCGGUACCGCCGGCGCUACAGUCGGAGCCGGUCGCCGGUGGAGACAUCAAGGUACAGGCCAUCACCGCCAGUGGAGAGGAGGAGGGCGCCACGCAGCAGGACCCCGCAUUCUCAAAGUAGGAGCCCGUAUGAACGUAGGUCCUCUCCAUCACCAUCUCCGAGAAGGAGCGUGAAGUCAAAGUCAAAGUCAAAAUCGCCAUCGAGAUCAAGGUCAAUGUCGAGGUCAAGAUCUAGGUCGUCUUCUGGAAGCCCACCUGGGAAGAAAGGACUGGUGUCGUAUGGAGAUGGUUCUCCAGACAGUCAGAAGUGAGAAGAGAAGAGAAAGAUCUUACUUUUGAGGGUGAAAUGAUUUAUAGACUUGGUAAUUGGUACACUAUGUAGGGUGGGUGUGUUUUGAAUAAUUUGACUAUUUCUCUUGUAUUUCUUUCUUCUUCUGUGGAGUGACUGUUGAGGUGCUGCUAGACUAGUAACGAUGAUUGGAUAUGUGUUUGUUUUUAAGAGGUUGGUUAGACUGAGGGGAAUGGGACCGAGUAUCAAUUAUGUUAUGUUUUAAAAAGCCUCUUCUGUUUUUAUCUUUAUUGUUAUGGUUUGCUCUUUGAUCAGUGCGACUUGAAGGUAGUUUGUGCAUUUAUAUAUGUAUUAACAUAAUCUUGUGUGCUUGAAUUGAUACAUUAUAUUAUAAUCUUUUCAAAGAAUAAGCUAACAAGUUAAAAGGAGGGUCAUCAAGAUGUAUUGAAUUAUUAAGUAGAUUGAGAGAAGAUUAUUUACCAUCUCUUUAAGACCGGUAAUAAUUGCGACAUAUGUAUUGUAUUUAGUUAUUUAUUAUUUAUUAACCGAUAAAAUUGGAAUAAGUUACCUAAAAUUUAGGGGAAAAUAUGAUUAAUUACGUAAGUUCAGGGGGUAUUUUGGUUUACGGCAACAGCAGGCGACGUGUAGAAGAAGAAUCUCGGGAACCCUAGCAGAGGUUUGUUUCUCAAUCCUACGCCGCUACGACCAUUGCCGCUUUCUCCACUCCACGAUGAUAACAAAGAAACAUCCGUCGCCGUUUCUCAAUCCAACGGUAAUAUGAUUUACUUGUUCGUUAUUAUUUGAAUCUAUUAAACACAAGAUAUAAGCCGAAGCAUUUUGAUUGAAAUAAGACAGUAACCAAUAAAUACUAAAAGCCAAUCUCUUUUCUGUAGCUUGGUAACAUUUGUAUUACUAAUAAAUGAUGAAUGUAUUAUUGAUUGUACUUGGGUUUUUGAUUGACAGGGUAACAUUAAUGAUAUUGAUCGUAAUGUUCUAUGCAAUGUGUUACACAUCAAACAAUGCUCCAAAGCCUCCCAAUAUAUGGUGAAGUUUACAAAGCAAAGGCAUUGGAAUCAUCAAACAAGUAUGUCUCUACCUUUUAUAAGCUUCUUCAUUUUCAGUAACAUUAUAGGAAUUAGACACUCUUUCUUUGUCACCACUGCAUUUGUGAUGGCAUUGGCAGCUGGUAAGCUUUGGGACACCAUUUCUGAAUGCAUCUCCCAAAUUCAAUCUGAUUGUGAUGAUGAAGCUAAAGAGAGGGCACUUCAAACCCUAGUUUCCAUCACAAAAGCAAGCCCUCCACACAGAAAUUUAGUCAUGCAGAAUCAGGAAGCCAUCCCCGCUCUCCUCUCCCUGCUCAAAUCCUCCUCCCGUGCUCUUGAAAGACUCUCACUUUCCAUCCUCUUCAACCUCUCAUUAAACCCUAAUCUCAAAUCCACCCUUGCUGACAUGGCAACCAUUCAACACCUCAAUACUGUGAUCCUGUCUCGUGGGUCACUCGAGUCUAGCAAACUAGCAGCUUCUUUGAUAUGCAGCCUGGCAAUGCUAGACAAGAAUAAAGCAGUGUUUGGGGUAGCGAAUACUAUUCAAGCAUUGUUGAAGGGAGUUUCAAGGCCUAAUAGUCCUGUGACACAUCACCUUCUCAGCUCACUUGCUGAGUUGGUGCACUUCCAUGGGAAUUGCACAUUGGCUGUUAGAUCAGGUGCAGUUGGUGUUCUCCUGAGAAUAGUUGAGAACAAAGACAGUGAAGAUCUUUGUGGGACUGCUCUUAGUAUUCUUGGGCUUCUUGCUAAGUUUGAUGAAGGGCUAAAAGCUUUGACAAAUACACCUAGUAUUGUGAGUAGAAUGCUUGAUGUGUUGAAAGGUAGGUCCAUGUUGAAUAAUGAAGGUGCAGCCGAGGUACUUCUUCGUGUUUUUGAUGAGAGUGAAGAAUGCUUGAGAGAUGCUAUCGGAUUGCCUGAUUUCAUGUAUACAUUAGCUGAGCUCUCGGUGAGAGGAUCAACGAGAGCUCGGGAGAAAGCUUCUCUACUGUUGAGAAAACUUGAGGCUAAUGAAUCAUAUGUAGAUGAUGAUCUGGUGUUCUUGAAAUGGUAAGGUAGGAUGCGUGUCUUAAGAAAAGUAACAUAAUAAGAGCUUUUGUUUGUUUUGUAGCACAUGAGUGUGCACAUUAUUAGGUCCUCUUUGAAGGUUUAGGUAAUGAAUAGAUGGGUUUGGUGUUAAAAAAGGCAUGGAGUUUAUAGGAUUGAAGCCAUGACUCACAAAACUACGAACUACAUAAAAAAUGAAUUUGAGAGUUACAUAAAGCCAUAAAGUUAAAUUUAUAAAGAAAGCAUAACUAUCUUGCAUCCAAAUACAACAACAACAACAAAUAAACCCAAAUCCCAUAAAGUCUUGUGAGGUAAGUGGGAGGUUUGAUGUAGGUGGUCUUAGUGUCUUGCCUCCACCCGUGGGUAGAGAGGCUACCUCUAUAGGAGACUUUCGCCAUGAUCAAGGAUGCACCAUACAUGAGCAAAUAAAAGCAAUAUACAAUUAAAUAUACUAAUACUAGAAAUAGUACUAAUUGUAAAAAUGAAAUAACAUAAGACGAUAAAUACUUAAAUGCCUAAAUGAUAAUACAAGAAACAAAACUUAUGCUACUACACUAACCUAAUUCUCCGUCUCCACUCCUACCUAUGUGAGGUCUGUAGAAGGUGCCAACUCCUUCGUGUCUAACCUCACACUAUAGUUACGUUGCGUCCUCGGUCGACCUCUCCUCUUCGCCUUACCGUAGAUGUGACGCCUCGAUCCAUUGAGUACCGUCAUCUAUCCUUAGUACACUUUAUUUUAAAUACAACUAAGAUAAUACCUUAGAUUUCAUCUUCAUCAUGGUUUAACAAAAUUACAUAAGCAAAAGUGCAUAAAAGAAAAACUAUUUUAACCGUUUAUAAUUCAUCCAAAAUUUCUGUUAAAACACUAACUACUUGUGGUCCUUCUUCUUUCCUGAGAUACAUACAUGAAUACAUAAGCUUUAAGUUUAGUGAGUAUUUUGGUUUUAAUAUUUAGCAUAAACAUUUGAUGGAAAAAUAACAAUUAAAUGCUUGAAAACAUUAAUUUGAGAUCUUAUAGCUACAUGUAAGUAGGCCCAACUUCUGGGAGGUUUGCUAACCUUGGGAUUCAUAUAAGGCUGUCCCAUAAGGUCCGUUUUUAAGACGUCCCUUCAUCCCAUACCCAAUGCGUUGGGUUACUUGGGUAUUUAAAUGACCGUACUUAACAUGAAUAAAACUUUCAUGCUAACUUCAUAAUAUGUUGUUAAAUGUCUUUGAAAAAUCAUUUGAGCAAGUGAACAUGGCAAAUAAUUUAAAUGCAUUGAACAUAUACGUAGCAUGUAUGUAUCCCAUUAAAUCACAUAAAUAUACUCACCUUUCUUUGAGCUUUUAGGCUUCUUUUUAAUCUUUUAAGUCACCACCAAGCUUGAUAGUGUAUUCUAGGAUGAAAAAAAAUGCUUAACUUCACUUGCUAUGUCUAGUAAAAUUGUGUGCAUUGCUUGCUUGUUCUUUAGGCCUAAAACAUAGUACAUUGUUGAUGAGAUGAUUACACCUAGUGUACUUGUUGUACCUCAUCUCCUUAGAAGCUUACACCUCAAGCCUCUAGCUCUUCUAUGUCAUCUUCCAGCUUAGCUUAAUCUCCUUAGAAGCUUACACCUCAAGCCUCUAGCUCUUCCAUGCCAUCUUCUAGCUUAGCUUAAUCACUCAAAAUCUAGGCAACGCUUAUCUCUACUUGUAUAUGCUAGCUUGGUUACUACUUUUAGCCUUGAUUUGUCAUGCUAAGCUUUGGUUUACUUGUAGCUGGUGUUGUGGUACUUGUAAGCAUAUGGUAAGCUACUUGUGUGCUUGCUUAUUUUCAACUUUUCUUUUUACAUAAAAUUUGCAACAUUCUUCUAUAACAACUAUUCUUAAAGUGUCCCUUAUGUUCUUUUAUAUUACAAGGGUGUUAUGGUAGAUGAUUGCCUCCUCUUGACAUAUCUAAACCACUAAAAUCUUUCUUUCCUCGAAUUUUCGGUGGUUCACGCAACUCCUAACUUAUUUAUGAUUAUAGCAUUCAGUAUUUUCUCCAACAUUGUUGUAAAGCAUAAACACUGAAGGAUCCUCAUUUCAGAAAUUUCCAUCUUCCUCUCAUGCUCUUUUUUUUCCGGCUAACAUUUGAAGCAACUACCACCUUGUAUCUUGCAUCCAAAUGAUGCCAAUGGUUGUUUUAAAACAAUUUUGGCUAAGGGUGUAGACUAGACAAAGCAAAGUAGAAGGAGAAACGAGGUUUAUUGGGUAGGGUUUAACAUGGACUAGGCUUAUAUAGACCACACUUUUAUCAUGUUAGAUAGUAGAUAGUUUUUUAUAAUGAUUUCUUAUGCAUCUUUAGCGUGGUCGUACAAUUAUGAAUAUUUAUAAUAGUUGGAUAAAUUUAUAAAAUAUGAAAGUGUUGUGGCAAAAUCUAGAGAUUUGAAACAUGUGAACCUACAUGUUUUAGACAUGACACUUUAGUGUCUUGUUUAGGGACCUAUUCCGUGUAAAUGCAUGUAAUUAUCACAUGAAGCUUGCAAAUUGAACUUAUUUUACUAAAUAUUAGGUGUAGACUACCAGGAAAGAAAUUUAAAGCCCAAAUUUGCUUGCCUUUUCUUUCAUUUCCUUUAUCGUGAGUUCGUGACCUUUCCCCUUUAUUGUGCCCUCGACAAUCGACAUAGGACAUCGCCGAGUGGUGCGUUUGCUAUCGUAUCUUUCGAUUGCACCUCAACUACACCUAAAACAACAAGAAUUUGUUUAUCGCAUUGAUAUUAAGGUAUCUUUUUCGAAUACUUAACCUUUAGAUCUAGUUUGAUCCCAAAUCGAUUAUUCCAAAAUUUUACUUGUAAUGCUUUAGUUAGGUAAAUUAUUUUGCAACCGGAAAGAAUUGGCUAGGGUUGUUUGGAAUAAAUGUUUGUGUGCUUCCGAUUACGCUAUCAAUAUUUCUUUACAUUUUUGUUAAUAGGAUUAAUGUCAAUGAACUUAACUUGUAUAUGGAAUGUCAUAAUUAUGAUUUCCAUUCCAUGAUAAACAAUGUUAGGGCCUUAUUAAUGAGAUAAUUCUUUAAUUAAGGUAGUUAUUUAAUUACUUAGAAGCAGUGAUGAUAGUUUGUUAAGCUUUGGUGUCAUGGAUGGUGUCACUUAGAUCAUGAGAGAGAUAGAGAGAAGGGAAGGGGGGGGGGGGGAUCUUAUGGGCCAUCAUUUGUACCCAUCUAGUAGAAUGACGAGAGAGUCGAGUUCCAUAGGUCUUGGAUAUUUCUUCCAUUUCAUAGUGGAUGAUAGUGGGUAUCUUACUAUGAUUUCCUUCUUUGUAUCUCCAAAUUAGCAAAGGGUUUAAAGGCAUUUAGCUACAACUCAUUGCCUUAUUGUGGUUGUAAAUAAUAUGUCCAUCUUUUUGCACAUGUUAUGCUUUUUUCGUAAUCUAGUGGGAAAUUGUGUUAGAUCUUUUGAUAUCCUCGUUUAUAUAGAGGGACACGUUUGAGAACAUGAACCAUAAAUUUUGGAUAUAAUGAUAUUAACUAUGUUGAGACAUCUUUUUGGUUUUAAGAUGAAUUUUGGUUUUACUCCCACCAUUAUCCCAUUUUCUUUGGUUUUUCCUCUCAUUUUUGGACCAUUGACUCUAGUCGUAGUCAAAUCUCAUCUUUACCAUUUUAUAUGGACCUUGUUGCUCAAACCUCAUCUUUAAUAUCGCUAUGCGGCGGUGUUUGGGAUUGCUUUUCAAAACAACCUAUUGACUUAUUGGCUUUUUGAAAAGCCAAUAAGUCAAAAAUAAUGUUUGGCAAACUCAAAAGCAUUUUUCAAAAUAACUUUUCCAUUAGCUUCAAAAAGGAGAUUUCAAAAAGCAGGUAAAACUUGGCUUUUUGAAACUCCUUUUAGCUUUUUAAUCAUAAUAGCUUCAAAAAAGAGAUUUUAAGCCUAACAUUUUUUUUAAACUUAUUGCCUUAUUGGAUUUUGCCAUCUCAAAAGCUAAUCCAAACACUUUUUUAAGUCAAUAAGCACUUUUUCCCAACAACACUUUUGGAAUUCAAAAAGCAGUCCCAAACACCCCCUUGUUCCAACCAUGUGUUGUCAAUGCACCAAGAUCUUCAGUUUUGAUCUGAGCCUUGGCCUACAUUAGUGCUGGCUUUGACUAUUAAGUUCUACCUGAGUUGGGUGUCACUAGCAUUUUCUCAAGAGAUUACUUGAUCUUUCAUUAUUCUACCUUGGUGUCUUUUAGCAGAGCAUCAGAGUUUUCUCUAUUGAGUCAAGAAAUUCUAAACCUUUUAUAUUGCUGGUCGCCUAUAGAUGUUUUUUCCAAUCCAUGACUUGUAAACUACGGCGUUCUCUGUUCUUAUAGAUUUGGUCCUUGAAUUUUAUGCAAGAAAUAUUUUAUAAUGCUUAUUUAAAAAAGAAAAAACUAAUGUAAUGCAAUGUUUAGAAGAGGAAGAAUGAGCAUGGUGGGAGAUUGGAUUUGUGGGUCAUGCAAUCACUUAAACUUUUACUGGAGAGAAUCAUGCAGGAGAUGCAAAGAGCCACGAUCCCAAGACAUGAAUGCAGCUGUGAGUGCGGGCCCCAGGGUGUUUGCUUUUAGGCCCGGGGAUUGGUUCUGUGAUGUUGGGAUUUGUCAGGCUCACAACUUUGCAAGCCGAAGAUUCUGUUUCAAAUGUGGUGUAAUUAAAAGCAUACCAUCUUUUGGUCCUACUGUAGGACUAGGAUACUACCCUACCCUUCCCCUUCCCCCUCCCCCUCCUCCUUUCUUGAGUUUCAGUUUCAUGAAUCCCAGAAUCAGCCAACGAGGCUGGAAGCCUGGCGACUGGUUUUGUGGCAGGGGGUUUUUUUUUUAAUUUUUUUUUUUUUUUUUUUUUUUUUAUUUUAAAUAUUUUUUUUUUUUUUAAAUAUANUUUAUCUUUUUUCAUAUUUUUUUUUUUUUUUUUUUUUUUAAUUAAGGUCAUAAUCAUUAUUCAUUAAUACUAGUUGAUUCUCAUUCAUAUAAUCAUAUGAUAUGAUAUAGGCCUGGCUGUAAUGCACACAACUACGCUUCCCGAAUGAUAUGUUUCAAGUGCAAGUCUUCUAGGGAAUUGGUUACCAAUGUUUCUAAUUGAUUCCUUCCUUGCAUUCCGAAUUCUGGUAAAGAUUUUUGUUUUUUUUUUUCUUAUGAAUGUGUGUGUAAUUUAUGUCAUGUUUUUCAGGUCCUAUGGUUAUGCUAUCACCUCUGUUAGGAGAGAGGGAGAGUCAGAGUUGUUGUUUUUUCGUUCAGAUCUUGUUAUAUCUUAUGUGUUUCUUUUUAUUUCUGUUGGUUGCAUUGCAAUGGAGUUUGAAUCUGGUAUGAAGUUUACAUGAAUUAAUGAAGGAUGUAAUUAUAAGUGGUUUCUUCAGUUUGAAUGUGAUGAUUAUGGAUGGAUGGAUGGAGUUAUAAGAUUUUUGUGGCAAUUUGGUUGGAUCAUAUGUGUAGUUGUAAGAAAAGUUCAUUCAACUGGGUUGUUGAGUUUCAUACACAUUCAUUUGCAAAUGGUAAUUUGACAAGGAUUUUUUUUAAUAUAGCUGAUUUUGGAAAUUUUGGUCUUCAAAUGAUUUUUUUGUUUUUUGUUUUUGUUUGUUUGUUUGUUUUUUUUUUUUUUUUUUUUUUUUUUUUUUUUUUUUUUUUUUGUUUGUUUGUUUGUAAUGGUCUAUGUUCCAAAUAAAAUGACUUUUUUUUUUGUUUCCUAAGUUAUACCUGAUUUUUGCAGUUUUAUCACAAAAAUAGUCAUUUUCUUGGUACGAGGACCAAAAUCAUUAAAAAGAGGAUCAAAAUUGCAAAAAAAAAACUCACCUCAAAAUUGCAAAAGAAAACUCACAGACCAAAAUUACAAUUCAAAAUUACAAAAAGAGGACAUACUACCUAAUUCAUUGAUGAUUAAAGUGGGACAUUGUUUAGUCGUAUUCAAUAAUAUAUAGAAGUAGGAUCGGGUGAUGACUUGAAAAAUAGUGAGGAUUGCGAUGACAAAUCUUGGAUGUUUGUUGGUUUAAAUGGGUGGUUGAGAUAAAUCAAAAUUAAUAAAUAAACAAAAAAAAAAUCGUCCAAUGACAUUUUUGUAAAUAAAAUCAAGUUAGGAUCACUUUCCAAUUAAAGGGCAAUGUCUGGGGGUCAUAACUGUCAAAGGAAAUAAUAAAAUUUUGUUGCUGAAAUGAACUCCACGCACAAAAGGUGCGUCGCCAACUCUAUGGAUCUUACUCUUGAACACGUUUCGCCACCAGGUUUACUUGGGUUUAUUUAUUUAUUUUUAUUUUUCAUGGAUCUUACUCUCGUAUGAACUUGUAUAAGUAGUCCCCGGAAAUGUAUUGACCUGAACUUCAUGAAUAUGGCUUCGUAAUCUGGUUUGGAUGGGUUCUAACGGGAAAAAAACAGGUCUUGAACAAGCUGUUGUUUCGAGUUAAAAUCUGAAAAUUUAACCUAGUUGUUUAAUUAUAUGUUUAAGGUGAAUAUCCCUAUUUAAUCUUGAUUGUUAUUCUUAGGAGUUUUGAAAGGUGACCGGGUGCGAAUGGGUUCUGGUUUCAGUUGGAGGUUUACUCUACUACUUGAGGUGAGUUUCUCACUACACUGUGUAAUGUUGUGCAUUCUUUGCUUUAGCUCGUGUGUGUUAUAGUAUGUUUAUACGGGUAACACUAGAUUGGGUUAGUAUCUAGUGGGAGUAUGUUAUUUGUUCAUGUAUUGAAGAAUAUGUAUAGAAGGGAUCGACGUAUCCGAGCAGAGGAUCGGGCAUAGCCAGUGUGUCCCAAGGGGUCGACGAAUUGAGCAAGGGGGAUCGGGCAUGACCAAUGUGUCCCAAUGGGUUCGGGUGAUCGGGCUUAUCCAAUGUGCCCCAAUGGCUCGAUGUAUCGAGCAAAGGGGAUCAGACAUAACUAAUGUGUCCUAGUAGGUGUAUGUUGUUAUUGAUUCGCUCUUUGACAUGCAUACGUGUUUGUGUGGUUGAUAUUGUUGUUAUAUGUGUAUUAAGGGUAGAGCUUGUAUGAUAUAGACAUAUAGUAUUGUGUAUGUGUGAAAUCCCCUAAGCUUUGUGCUAUUCCCUUUUCCCUUAAAAAAAUACCAUUUCAGGAUUAACAUGUACUUAGGAUGGCAGGGUGUGAUAGUACACACCGGCUCAGUACGGAUUGAUGAAGUUUUCAUAUUACCUUGGAUUAUGUUUCUUUGAUUUUGGAAUUUAUAAUUAACAAAUGGUUUUUGAAAUUUAUUGAUCUUGGGAUUAUGGUUUUAAAACUUAUUUUGAAAAAAAGUCAUGGUUUUGAAUAUACUUAUAUUGUUUUUAGAAGUUCAAAUUUAUUGUAAAUUUUAGGAUGUUACACAAUUGUAUUGGAUUGAGUGCGAAAUUUGAAAAUCCAAUUGGAUUACUUGAAGGCAAUGUUACUUUGUUAGUCUUAUUUAGCAUAAUUGUGUGCGGUUUUAUUUUUAGUUAUCGUAGUUAUAUUUGGUUAUUCGAUAGAAAGAGAUUAGAAUUGGUUGGAUAAUGGAUAACUACUGAAUUAAACCAAUAAAAAAAUAUCCAAUAGAUAGAAUCGAUCUAAUCCAACAUCCAAUUGGAUCGAUUUGGUUUGAUUUUUUUAUGAUGAAUUGGAUUGGACCGGUUGACAAAUCCAACAUCUAAUGGAUGAUUAGAUUGGAUUGGUUCCAUCGAAAUCCAUUGGAUUUGAACCGCUGAUCACCCAUAAUUUGGUUAUUAUGUUUUUUUCAAUCAGCUGCUGGAACAUGAUGGUUCUAAAAACAUUUUGCAAAAAGGUAAGAAUCAGCCAUAAAGUCACAUUACCUUUCAUUGUUGAUGGUUGUGGAAUGUGAACUACUUUUUAUUAAAUUAUAAAUUAUCUAAGGAUGAAACUGCAUUUCCUUUCUUCAUAUCACUAUAACACAUUACAUUAUUUUUGUAUGUUUUUAUAACAUCAAAUCUUUGUUGUGAAACAAGGUUUAUUAUUAACAUGAGUUGGUUUGAGCUUUAACAAAAUUUUAAGAUAAUUAACUAUUUCAUACAAAUGAUUGUUCCAUGGAUUAUAUCAUUAUUAUUAUUAUUAUUAUUAUUAUUAUUAUCAUUAUAAAUCUUAUAAUAGAAGUCACUUGUGACAUAUAUCCUUAUUAUUAUCAUUAUCAUCAUUAUAAAUCUUAUAAUAGAAGUCACUUAUGACGCGGUUCAAGAUAACUCCCUAUAUUGAAGUGCAAAUAAUAAAGAUACGAAUGAUGGAUGUUACGUAAUAAGAUUAUAAUUUGAAAUAGUAUGCUAGAAAGUAACAUGACAAACAAAUCCUGAAACCGUAAACAACAAACAUACAAAAGCCAGUUUGGUAUCAAGAACAAGGUUGGACCGAAACCGUAAACAACAAACAUACAAAAGCCAGUUUGGUCCAAAACCCGAAACCCGAUUUAGUACCCGGAACUGGACCGGACCGAACCCCGACCCGCUACACCUAAAAACGGUCCAGUUCUCGGGUAAGGUAAUUCAUGGUUUUCGGUCUUCAGGCUGGUCCGGUUCGGGUUCUGCUCGUUGCUCUAUAUUGAACCAUAUUAAUUUGAAACUACGAAAACUCUUCGGCUUAUAUUUUAAGUUUCUAUUUGGUGUGUUAGCUGAAAAAACUAGUUUUUAACUUAUAAGCUAGUUUAUCCAUAAACUAUCUCGGAUAACUUAGACAAAACUGCAAAAUUGGUCCUUGUGGUAUGCAUUUUUUCUGAGGUUUAAUCCAAACCUCGAUUUUUUUGGAUUGGUGGUCCUUUUUGGUCCCUUGAAAAAUUGAAAAGACUAAAAUGCCCUUCUGAACAGUUUAUAUGUUAUUUUCUAUUUAAUUUAAAAUUAUAUUAAUUAAAAAUAUAGGGCCCACCUCUUUCUUUCUUUCUUUCUUUCUCUCUCUCUCUCUCUCUCUCUCUAUAUAUAUAUAUAGCCAUUUGGGUUUGUCUUUGACAAACAUCUAAUAACAUCUUCAUAAAUUCAAGAACACUCAAGAACAUCUUAUGCCAUCACCACCAUUCGACCACCGUCCUCCACCACCACUGUCUGCCACCUCCAUCUCCACCUGAACUUUUUAUACCACUUUAUAUCCGCCUAAAAUCAUCCCAAAAACAAAAAUCAUACACAAAAUAUGGGUUUGUUCUUGAGUUUCCCCUUAAAAAUAAUCACUAGAUCUGAUGCCUCAUCAAGAGCUCAUGAACACACACACCCACCCACAUUCAAGAACACAUUCAUGAACCCCAUAUCUGAUGAGCACACAAACACAAACACACAUUAUAUCAGAUCUGAUGAAGGGUUUUUGGAUGAACACAUUCAAGAACAAAUUUUUGAACCCUAGAUAUAAGGAACACACGAACAAAAUCAGAUCGAGUUCAUGGGUUCUCGGGUUCUUCAUCCAAAAAACAAAGAUCUAAAACCAAAACGAACAUUUGACCCCUCAGUGGCAGAUUUCUUCGUCCCCAUCUUCCAAAAACCCAUAUUGUAUGUGUGUAUUUUGUGACAUCCCCGAUUUCACGGCCACAAAAGACCGAUUUGAUUAUGAUUAUUUAAAUCAGAAUAUUCUUUUCAAAAGAGUAAUAAUGUGGAAUUUGUUCCAAAAAAUAUGACAAUAUCAUUAUUAAAGCAUUUCCGAGGAAAUGUAUUUCAUUUAUAUUUAAAAACCUUGGGAUGUCAUGGUCAAUACAACAACAUAAGCAUAAAACGUAAUAUUACAGGCCUUACAAUAGUUUAUUAUUCUAUUGGCCUAUUCUCCUUUAAAUCUCACUCCAAAUUUAAACUCAUCACACCUAUGCUCUUACGCUGCUACCUGUGAAACAAAGAAACUGAGUGGGUUAGGCUUCGGAAAGCCUGAUGAGCACAUAGGGUUUUCAACCCACAAUAAUUAAAUUUAUUAAUUUCAUCAAUCAAUCAACUCGGUUAUCCGUUCCCGUUAUCCUCACUUUUUGUCCCUAAAACAUCUAAAUUAAGGGACUUAGCCUAAGGAUUUUUCAUCGGGGUGACAGCACUGCAUAGGGGAUUCCUCAACAAUAUAUGUUAAAAGGCAACCAUAGGGGAAUGGAGUACAUCUGGUGAACAUUUAGUUCAAAAACACCUACAUGUUUCGAGCCUACCACCGUUCCACUAGACUGUCUAGAAUAGUUUGUGGUCGUCAUCUAUACUCCGCUAGAUGACUGGAUCAUCUUAAACACUCUAGGCCUAUCAUUAUUUAUUUUAUCAUCUAUAUCAUCUACCCAUCUUUACCCUUUAUAUUUAUAGGUACAAAAUACAUACAUAGUUUAAAUCGAAUAAAACAUGUAUAUUUUGUUCAUCCAACAUACAUAUCAAGAACACAGAUAAUAUACACACAUAACACGUAAUUUUUAUUAAAUACUUCAUAUUUAUGUAUAAGAUGAAAAUAACUAUGCACUCACUUGACUAGUUAGUGGUUACUAACUAUGUUCUUAAUCGUCGUUAUAUCACACUUUCUUUAUUUAUGACUCCUUGCUCGAAAAUUCUGAACUCUAAUUUCAAAAUUUCUGGCCCUUCUUUAUAUCGAGUAUAUCUUUGGCUAUUAUUGUUUUCUAUCAUAAGAAUUGCUCAAAGGAUACCUCUAUUUAUAUAAAGGAUUUUUGAAUCGCCCGUACAAUAUCAAAAGAUUAGUCACCCAAAAAAAUUACACGUAUAACUUCAAUAAAUUAGAUGUGUACGAACAUACUUGAAAGGUUAACACAUAUUCUUCUGAUAUUGACUCUAAAUUAGAAGGUGUAUUAUUACUUCUCUUUUGUCAACACAUAUCAUUUUAAUUAAUAAAAUAUGUACGACAUGUAUUAUAUUUCUUACAGGUAUGUUGGUUUGCAAUUUACAAAUCAAUUAUAGUUACAUUUAUGGUCCAUAAGUUAUUAUUGUAUUAACACAAUAUAUCAUUCAAGUUACACUGUAGUCCCUCAGCUGCAUGGAGCCCCUAAUAAGAAUAAAGAACAAGUAAGAGACGAUCACCCACUUAUUUGUUUGGAUCGGUCCGAUCCAAUCAAAUUAAGUAAAUUCAACUUAAUUCCGGUUUACAAAACAUUGAUUCAAAUAGUUCAAACUAAAUUCAAAUUCGGUAUGAAUUAAUCAAAUUACAAUUCGAUUUUCAAGAGUCGGAAUGUUUUAAAAUAGUUAUAAUUUGAAUAUUAGCUGACUUUAUAAAAGAAAUAUAAUCAAAUGGUUAGUUGUAAAUUAAAAUUUAUAAACUGUUAAGGAAAAUAUAUUUUGAUUCAUUAGAUAAAAAAAUCUUGAAAAAAAAAUACAUAUUAAGGUUUUUAUUAGGAGAGUGUUUCUAACCUAUUUAAAAAACAAUUCAGUAAAUUAAUAAAUAAUUAAAAGUAUAUAUUAAAAAUUAAAAUAUAUAUAUCUAUUCUAAUAAAUGAAAGUGUUUUUUGUCACAUGUUACACUCUCACUCAAUUUAUCAAAUGUCAUUUUGUGGUUAUUUUGAAUUAAUUUAUUUUUCCAAAUGUCAUGUUAUGUUUUUUUUUUUAUUUUAAUAAAGUUCACAUAAUAUUUAAAUGUAAUAAUUACAAUAAAUUUAGUAAUAAAUAAAUAUAAAUUUCAUUAAUGGAUAAAAAAAUCAAUUUUAAAAGAUAAAAAAAAUCAAUUUUUAUAAUUCAUUAUUUUUUUUUUAUAAAUUCAAAGUUCUUAAAUAUUUAGACAUUUAUAAUUAAUUUUUUUGAUUAACUCAUAUAAUCCAUGAGUCUUAUAGUUUACAAAAUAUUUAUCAAAUAAAGAUAUACUUGCAUGCUGUAAGAUAAUUUUUUUUACUAAUUUACCACCCCGGCCUUUCUAACAAUAAUUUGUAUUAUAUAAAAGACAAUGUUUUCUAAAUAAAUAAAAGAUAUUAGUUUAUUUUAUAUAUAGACAACCACAUAUCAUUUCCAUAUAUAACAUGAUGGUUGUUCAGAUCCGUGAUUAUUUAAUUUAAACUAUUAAAUAUGUAUUUUAUGAGUCGGUGAUUUCUAACACUAUUAAAAAAAGGGACAUUGUAACGAAACUAAAAGGCCGAGUUUCCUGUAAGCAGCUGACUGAAGCCAGACAGUCAAGCCAAGCUGAUUCUCCCCGCUCUCGACCAAAAUCUAUUACUAUUUUCAUCAUCACCGACACCCUCCCCCUCUCUUUUCUUAACAAAUCAAUACAAAUGAUUAAUAUGCAGUAAUCAUCGAAAGUGAGAUCAAGAAUGGGCCCUUUUCUUCUCACGCCAAUGCCCAUCAAACUUCAUUGAUUAUCAAGUUCCUUCAAAUUCAAAUCAAGAACGAAAAAAUCAAUUUCUAUCAUCUGGGGCUCUUCUUUAGUCCCCUGUUUCUACUUUAAUUGGAAUACAUGGAGGCAAAUGCAGGAUUAGUUGCCGGAUCUCAUAAGAGGAACGAGUUGGUGAGAAUAAGACAUGAUUCCGAUGGAGGGGUAUGUGUUCUUUCGAUUUUUCUUGAAUACCCUUUUGGAUUUUGAGUGUUCAGAAAUCAAUUUUAUCGACUCUUGUAUAGAUCUAAGUGAUUUAACAGUAGGCUAUUUUGUUUAACCCAAGUUUGUUUAUUUUGUUUGGAUCUGAGUGAUCAGUGUGACCAGUGAGCUCAGUAAUGAGUGAUGAUACGACUUUUGACUUAUUAAUCCUACCUUUUUGUUAAAUCUUCAAAGAGGGUUUUUUGUUAAAUUUGUGGAUUUAGAUCUGAAUCAUCGAGAUGAAAGUUUCUGUUUUCAGCGCCCAUCUUGAUUAAUUUGACAAAAUUUUCAGCUUUAGCACAUGAUGAUUUCUUAAAUUAUUUAAUUUUGAUUGUGACGUUGAGUGUUGAUGAUGCAGCCGAAGCCUUUAAAGAAUAUGAAUGGACAGAUAUGUCAAAUCUGUGGCGACACCGUCGGCCUGACUGAAAACGGCGACGUUUUUGUUGCUUGCAACGAGUGCGCAUUCCCGGUUUGUAGACCCUGCUACGAGUACGAAAGAAGAGACGGAAAUCAAGCAUGCCCUCAAUGCAAAACUCGAUACAAAAGACACAAAGGUUAGUUUUUGAGUUUUUGUUCGUAUCAAGAACACAUCAAACAUAUGAUUUUUGUAAGAAUUAAAGAGAGAUACAAAUGUUUUUAGGGAGUCCCCGAGUUGACGGUGAUGAUGACGAGGACGAUGUUGAUGACCUGGAAAACGAGUUUGAUUAUGCACAAGGGAGACGACAAUGGCAAGGAGAAGAUCCGGAUCUUUCUUCAUCUUCUAGAAGACAUGAAUCACAGCAACCAGUUCCCCUUCUCACUAAUGGCCAACAAGUAAGAAAAUUACUUAUAUACCCUUUUGUUCUAAGCAUUACCUUUUUAACUAAAUUCAGAGUGUUAUUUUCAGGUAUCUGGUGAAAUCCCAAUUGCCACACCGGACAAUCUAUCUGUAAGAAGUACAUCGGGUCCAUUAGGCCCUGGUGACAAGCCUGUCCGCUAUAUGGAUCCAAGACAACCAGGUUACUUUCUUUUUUUUUUUUUUUUUUUUUAAAAAAAAAGUAUUAUUAUUAAUCAGAUAAUGUUGUAGUAAUUAUGCUAAUGAUGCCCUUUUAAUAAAUAGUUCCUGUAAGAAUUGUGGACCCAUCAAAGGAUUUAAAUUCAUAUGGGCUUGGGAAUGUGGACUGGAAGGAAAGGGUAGAAGGCUGGAAACUAAAACAAGACAAAAACAUAAUGCAAAUGGCAAACAGAUACAAUGGCGGUGAAGGGAGAGGAGGUGAGAUUGAAGGCACGGGAUCAAAUGGAGAAGAAUUGCAACUGUAAGUAGUAAACUAAAGGGUACUUUAGGAAUAUCAUAUUUGUCGACUUAUGAUUUGACUUUUUUUUUUUUUUUUUUUUUUUUUUUUUUUUANUUUGUUUUGUUUUUUUUUUUUUUUUUUUUUUUUUUUUUUUUUUUUUUUUUAAAUAUAUAUAGGGUUGAUGAUCCAAGACAAUUAAUGAGCCGUGUGGUGCCUAUUUCAUCUUCUCAUUUGACUCCAUAUCGAGUUGUGAUUAUAUUGCGAUUGAUUAUUUUGGGAUUUUUCUUGCAAUAUCGGUUGACUCAUCCUGUUAAUGAUGCGUAUCCUUUGUGGCUUGUAUCUGUUAUUUGUGAGGUGUGGUUUGCUUUUUCUUGGCUUCUUGAUCAAUUUCCAAAAUGGUCCCCCGUUGAACGUGAGACCUUCCUUGAUCGCCUUGCAUUGAGGUAAGUAAGUAAUGGGAUUUAGAUUUUGGGCUAAUUGCAAGAAAUAGCAAUGUACUUUCAUUUGUAGUCAUCAUCAUGGGCAAUUAGGUAAUUUUAGCUUAAACAAUGAAAAUUUGUUGUUUUGUAGGUUUGAUAGGGAAGGAGAGCCUUCACAAUUGGCACCUAUAGAUGUCUUUGUGAGUACAGUGGAUCCAUUAAAAGAGCCUCCUCUCAUCACUGCAAACACAGUGUUGUCUAUUCUUGCUGUGGAGUAUCCUGUUGACAAAGUCUCCUGCUAUGUAUCUGAUGAUGGAUCUGCUAUGCUUACAUUUGAGUCUCUUUCUGAGACAGCAGAGUUUGCAAAAAAGUGGGUCCCAUUCUGCAAGAAGCAUAGCAUCGAGCCCAGAGCCCCUGAGUUUUAUUUUGCUCAAAAGAUAGAUUACUUGAAGGACAAGAUCCAGCCUUCUUUCGUCAAAGAACGUAGAGCAAUGAAGGUGAGUUUUACCACUUUUAUGUUUUAUGUUUUAUGAUUUCUUCCAGUGUUUUACCAAAUACCUAAAACACCCUUUUAUGGCAGAGAGAAUACGAAGAAUUCAAAGUUCGGGUCAAUGCACUUGUAGCAAAAGCACAAAAGAUGCCGGAAGAAGGCUGGUCUAUGCAGGAUGGAACUCCUUGGCCUGGAAACAACCCCCGUGAUCAUCCUGGAAUGAUUCAGGUAUUUGAAUGAUUGUUUGGUUGCUGAAAAUUUGUAUAUCAACAGUUGAUUGUUGACUUCUCUUGUUUAUGAUGAUUGGAAUUGGAUAGGUGUUCUUGGGGCACAGUGGAGGUUGCGAUACAGAUGGAAAUGAGCUACCUCGUCUUGUUUACGUGUCCCGUGAAAAACGUCCUGGGUUUCAACAUCACAAGAAAGCCGGUGCCAUGAAUGCUUUGGUAUGGAUCUCUUAAAAAAACAUGGAAAUUUUUUGUGUUUAUUGGUUGUUUAUGGAUGCGAUGCAAUUUGGUGUUACAGAUUAGGGUUUCGGCGGUUUUGACGAAUGGCGCGUACCUUUUGAACGUCGAUUGUGAUCACUACUUCAACAACAGCAAAGCUCUAAAAGAAGCCAUGUGUUUCAUGAUGGAUCCUGCCUAUGGAAAGAAGACAUGCUAUGUUCAAUUCCCACAGAGAUUCGACGGGAUUGAUUUACACGAUCGAUAUGCUAAUCGCAAUAUCGUCUUCUUCGAUGUGCUUUUCUGAACUUUACAGAGUCAAACUUAAAAAAAAAAAUUCAAAUUCAAAUUCCGAUCUUGUUGGGAUUUCAAAAAUCAAAAAUUGACAUUUCUAUAUAUAUAUAUUUUGUACAGAUUAACUUGAAAGGGCUGGAUGGGAUUCAGGGGCCGGUUUACGUGGGAACUGGUUGCUGUUUCAAUCGACGAGCUCUGUAUGGAUACGACCCUGUUUUAACAGAGGCUGAUUUAGAACCAAAUAUCAUUGUGAAAAGCUGUUGUGGUUCACGAAAGAAGUCGAGAAACGUUAACAAGAAGUACGUGGAUAAAAAAGCAGUGAUGAAAAGAACGGAAUCCAACACUCCAAUUUUAAACAUGGAUGAUAUCGAUGAGGGUGUUGAAGGUUUGAUUUUGAGUCUUUCACUUUAGUUUGUGGGUCCAGUGAAUCAUUAAUGUUGACUAAAUUCUUUUGUUUUUGAAAGGGUAUGAUGAAGAUAGAUCGUUACUAAUAUCGCAAAAGAGCUUAGAGAAGCGAUUUGGUCAAUCUCCUGUAUUUGUUGCUGCAACUUUCAUGGAGAUGGGAGGAAUUCCCCCCACUACCAAUCCAGCUACCCUUUUGAAGGAAGCAAUACAUGUUAUUAGCUGUGGUUAUGAGGAUAAAACCGAGUGGGGUAAAGAGGUAAUUUUACCCUUCUAGCUUCCGAUUCUUGUUAUACAUGGUCAUCGGAAAAACAAUAAUCUUCAUGUUAUUUUGUUUUGUGUACAAAUGCAAGCAGAUUGGAUGGAUUUAUGGGUCUGUGACAGAAGAUAUUUUAACUGGAUUCAAGAUGCACACAAGAGGAUGGAUCUCAAUAUAUUGCAUGCCACAACGUCCGGCUUUCAAGGGUUCUGCUCCGAUCAAUCUUUCCGAUCGUCUGAACCAGGUCCUCCGGUGGGCUUUAGGUUCAAUCGAGAUUUUACUCAGUAGACAUUGCCCCAUCUGGUAUGGGUAUAAUGGUAAAUUAAAACUCCUGGAGAGGCUCGCAUACAUAAACACCAUCGUCUAUCCCCUCACCUCCAUCCCUCUUCUAGCCUACUGUGUACUUCCGGCCGUCUGCCUUCUCACCGGAAAAUUCAUCAUCCCCGAGGUACGUUAAUCAUGCUUUAUGAGUUGUACGAUAUGCAUGAAUGUUUGUACAUGUUGAAAAUUGGGGGUUUUGCAACAGAUAAGCAACUAUGCUAGUAUGUGGUUUAUUCUUCUCUUUAUCUCCAUCGCUGCAACCGGAAUCUUGGAGCUCCGGUGGAGUGGCGUGAGUAUUGAAGACUGGUGGAGAAACGAACAGUUUUGGGUGAUAGGAGGCACGUCCGCUCAUCUAUUCGCCGUCUUCCAAGGUCUUCUCAAAGUUCUCGCCGGAAUCGACACCAAUUUCACCGUCACAUCCAAGGCAAACGACGAAGACGGUGAUUUUGCAGAACUCUAUAUAUUCAAAUGGACGGCGCUCCUCAUCCCACCCACCAGUGUUCUGAUCGUAAACCUAAUCGGCAUAGUUUCCGGCGUUUCAUCUGCAAUCAACAGCGGUUACCAGUCGUGGGGCCCACUUUUUGGGAAACUGUUUUUUGCAAUCUGGGUUAUCGUCCAUUUAUACCCGUUUCUCAAAGGUCUGUUGGGUCGGCAAAAUCGAACCCCCACCAUUGUUAUCGUGUGGUCGAUUCUGCUUGCUUCGAUUUUCUCCCUUUUGUGGGUUCGUAUCGACCCCUUUACCACAGACGAUACUCUUGAUGCAGUUAAAGGACAAUGCGGGAUCGAUUGUUAGGUAUAUAUAUAUAAAGUUUCUGAUUUGCAAAUUUGUGUAAGCCGUGAUGUGAUGCGAUGUGAUGUGUACGAAUGAUAUAAUUAUUUGAUUUAUUGUUGUUAUCCCACGAAUUCAAUGAAAAAUUUAAGUAUAACCUUAUCUUAAUAUGUCGGUUCAUUACAUUCAAUUAAGUUGAGUUGUAUGCAAAUUUCUUGUUAUUAUACAGUAUAUUACAAAAUUCAAACACUAUCUUCUUCAUAUUUAAUUUCAUGAAUUUAGUCUUCAACAAGUACAUAUAUAUAAAACAAAACAUGAAAUUCCAUACACACCAAGGUUCAUGUCAGAUCCUGAAACAAAAGAUUAAAGAAAAUAAAGUUAGAUGGUUGUAAAUUGUAACCUAAUGAAAUAUAAGAAAAGUUGGGGUUUUACUUACUCAAUAUAUUCAACGUUGAUUUUCUCCCUUUGAGACUUGGAAAUGGCAGAAAAAGCAUCAUUUGACAAAACAAUAGUCGAAGGACACGGCCUUUUGGAACAAAAAUCUACCACCUUAACAUCAAUGGUACCAUCUCUACAUGGUUUAUUAUUUCCACUCAAACACUUGAGUCUGUAUCGCCUACCACAUGCUGCACCGUUAUCCCAUAGUCCUUCGCUCACUGACACAAAUAAGUUCCCCAAUGGGAAUUGAUCUGCUCGGUUGCCAUUGCACCUUGUGGCUACAUUAAAAAUACAUAUAAAAAAAAAUACUUCAAUUUAACUAUUAUUUAUUUAUUUAUUUACAAUGUCAAAAACAUAAUAAUUAGAAUCAUAUUUAAACUUACGUGUAUAAGGAGGCUCAUAGGAUGAGGCAGUGCCAAUUUCACUCAAACCACACUUGAUGUUAUUGAAGAUUAACAAUAAAAAUAAAUUCACAAUCACUCCAAUUCCCAUCGCUACAAAUUCCCUUUUCUUUUUUCUCUCUCUCUGUCAAAUACUAUGGUAGUAAGAUGCACCCCCUUGGAUUAUAUAUAGAUAUCGUAUGGAUUUAUUUAAAAGAUAUAGGUAUAGUUUGAGAUAUAUUGUCACGUGUUUUUUAAUAGAAAUGUGCUUAGCAUGUAUAUAGAAUGAAUGAAAAGUUGGUGAUCAAAUUGGAUAAACUAUAGAUGUUUAAUGUGAUAUAUAUCUACCUUUGCGCAUGAAAAAUGGAUUUAAUAGGUUUUGGUCAAUUGUGAUAUAAAGUUCUUGAUGCCUACCACUAAUUAGUUUAAGGAAAGAUGGUUUCUAACGUAAACAUAAAACAACUUUUCUAUCGUCUCUUUUAAACAGAAAAAAUAGUCAAUUUUGACAAUGGCACAAAAAGGCAAUGGAAAAGCAUAUGUAAGGAUUAUUAGAUAAAACGAUAGUGUUUUAAUGGAGAAAAAUUAUAUUUUCGGUGAAUUUUUUUUAGUUGAUAAACCCAUUGUUGGUGUCGAAUCUAUGAAAUUAUUUUGGCUUAUACGUCGGCUGACCGAUAUGAUUACCAAAGAAAGGUGCAUCCAGUACAAUCACCACUAACUAAAACCAAUGGCUCUAAACUGUUCGCAAUUUUUUAAGGAAGGGAAAUUCAUAUUUGAAUUCGUCACUACAAAGUGUUACAUGAUUCGUUAUUAAUAAAUAUUUUAUAUUACCUUUUAUCAUAUAAAUAAACAAUCCAAAUUUUAUUUUUAGAUGCAUAUUUCACAAAGCUUUUGUGUUUUUUUCGGUUCAAGUUUGUGUUAAAGUAAUUCAAUAUAGAUGGAGAAUGUCGUUCAAUAAAAGUAGUUUGUGUUAAAGUAAUUCUAUACAGAUGGAAAAUGAUGUUCAAUAAAAGUUUAGAAUAUCAGAUAAUCAAAAUUAGUUUGUCGAUAAGAUUUAUUAUUUUAAAAGAUGGGAUAUAUAUACUAAACUCUCAAUAUUUUUAACGAUUCAACAAAAAAGUCUUAAAUUUUAUUUUUUUAGAGUAAAAUCCUAACUAGCGGCAGUUUUUGACAUGUUUACCAUUUUUUGCCAGUUAGCCAGUAAUUAUGGUUUUACUAUAAAAAAAUAAAAUUUAUGACUUUCUUUUUCAAAUCGUGAAUUAAGACAUUACUGUAAAAAAAAAUUAAAGUUUAGGACUUUCUUAUCAAAUCGUUAAAAAUAUAGGGACUUUAGUGUAUAUAUCCAUUUUUUUGUUAGAAAUUUAAUGUCAUUAUAAUCUUUAAGUAUAAGAGUUAUUGAAAUCUGACCAAUAUGCUCUGGUCAACUAGAUUCUAUUAAAAUCAUUAACGUUUGAUUCUUGUUAAAUAGUUUUUUUUUAAUCUCAACAAAUCGACAUUGAAAAAAAUAAAGAUAAUCAAGAAAGAAAGAACCACGAUUGUGUUGAAUUUUUGCAUAAUGAUAAUCAAGAAAGAAAGAACCAGUAUCGUGUUGAGUUUUUUGCAAUCCUAAAAAUGGAGAAUUAAGAAACCGGAAAAGAAGAAAUUGUCCUUCUUACACAUUCUCCACAUUCACACAUUUUUUACCGGACAUGUGUUGUUUGUGUUUGUUGAAUUUGUUCCUCUUUUCAGUUCAAGAUUUGACGGCGAACCAAGAAAAAAGUUUUACAAGUCUUCUUACCCUCUAUCGUUCUCUCUUUUGCAUCAGUUUCCCAGAUUGUGAUCGUAGCAAAGUAAGAUGAUGAUGGUAAGAAAAAACAAUGGUGUUGCAAUAAAAAUCACAAUUAAAAGUUCUUGGGAUAGGAAUUAGGUCUCAUGAGACUGAUAAAAUUAUUUGUUUCUAGGGAAACCAAACCUAUACACUAAAGUCUCAAUAUUUUUAACGAUUUAACAAAAAAGUCAUAAACUUUAUUUUUUUGACAGUAAAACCCUAAUUACCGGCUAACCGGCAAAAAAGAGUAAAUGUUUCAAAAACUGUCGAUAAUUAGGAUUUUACUGUCAAUUGAUUUUAAUAUUUUCAUGCAAAAGACAACUGUAUUACGAAAGAAAUAACUGUUAACCGUAACUACAAUAAGGUAUUAAAGUUAUAGAAGUUUCAAUCCUAAUAACGCAUAAUUUUCACUUUUGGUUUAAUAUGUUUAUAUUAUUUAUCUAAAAAACAAAAUCAUAAUAAAUAUAUUUUGAUUAAAUGUCACAGAAAAACCACGCCCAUGUCAAUUUUGAUUGUUACAAAAUGACAAUUUUUUUGAAAAGAGAUAUCAUACCGUAUUAAUAAGGUGGUGUUUGUUUUUUUUUCAAAAGCUCUUCUAGACCUUUUAUGUCUGCAUCGCGUAGACGACCCACAAACUUUUAGUCCUAUAGACUGUUUGUUUUUUAGAAGACCGUACGCAUAAAAAAAUCUGUCCAUCCUCUUCUUGACGUAGAUGUGAACAUAUGUCUUCUAGUCUCUUUCUUAAUCUUUCCACUAAUCUUAAGAGACAAUAAAAAAGCGCAAAAAGAAUAAAAAAAUGAAAAAAAAAACCUAUCAAACCUCAUUCGUGCACCUUUUUUUUUAAUUCAUUUGCCAUGUAAACACUUUGUAAAUAUAUUAUUUUAAUGAUUUUAGCUUUAUAAACUUUAUUUGGUCAAAUAAUUUUUUGGUAUUCAUAUUUUAAAAAACUUUAUGCAUAUUUAUCCGAUGACUUUUUAUAACAGUAAUUAAAAAAGUUAAAUAUACUACAAAACUUAUGAAAGUAUUUUACGAACGUGUUUUUUUUCUUCAUAAAAUGGACAAUUAAUUUGUUAUAUAUAUAUAUAUAUGCUUAUUAUAUGAUAACUAGGCUCGUGCGUGUGAACAAGUCUCCGUUUGCCACCUAGCACGGUAUCUNNNNNNNNNNNNNNNNNNNNNNNNNNNNNNNNNNNNNNNNNNNNNNNNNNNNNNNNNNNNNNNNNNNNNNNNNNNNNNNNNNNNNNNNNNNNNNNNNNNNNNNNNNNNNNNNNNNNAUAUAUAUAUAUAUAUUGAAAAUAAGGUGGUUGUAUUAUUAAAUUACAAUGUUUUUAUAUAAGAAAUAUUGAAAAAGUCUUUUAAAUUAAAAAAAAAAUCAAUUUAUUUAGGUUUUAAUUUAUUUUAGCAGUUUGUAGAUUUUAAAAAACAAACAGUCUUCUUGCAGACUGCAGACGUUUGGUCCAUAUCUUCUACUGCAGAUGUCGUCCGCAGACUGCAGACAUUUUGCUUCUGAAAAACAAACACCAUCUAAGUUUCAAACGCAUAAACAUUUAUUAACAAAAGACAUGUAAACGUGGAUUAUGAACUAAUGACAUAGAUAUACGAUAAGUACUAUAAAGAGGAAAAAGCAUAGUUAAGAUUGACCCAAAUUGUAAUGAUUAUAGUCUUGCUAAUGUAAAUAUUUAAUUAGUUUUUCUUGAUAAUCAUGAUAAAUGAUACUUUUUGACUCAUGAGUGAUGAAUAAACAAUAGUAUAUAUAGAUUUACUAAGACGAAAAAAGACAUGAGUUUUAAUGAUAGAAUAUUAUUGAAAAAAUAAUAAAGAAUAUGAUCAACUUUAAAUUAGUGCCCGGAUAAAAUCGAAGUUUUAGAAAGUGCUGAUUAGUGGCGAUCCUUCAUUUUUUUAUAACUUUAUUUCAAAUUAAUGGUAAUCAUGUAUAAUAAUUAAUAAACUUACAAUACGCUAAUAUACAUUACAAUCAUUUUCAUCCUAUGUGAAAAUAAUUUUUGACAUAUUAUUCGUUUUCAAAUUAUAUAGAUGCAUAGGCAAUAAUAUGUCUUUUAUGUGAAAUAAUGUGUGUUUUUUUUAUGUGAAAACAUGUUUUUUAUAUAUAAAAAUAUAUUUUCACAUAAAAAAAACCUGUUAUGCAAAAAACCUUUUGGACCAAAUUUAUAUAGAAACAUAUUUUUCACAUAUAAAAACCUUUUUAUAACAAAAAUGUUUUGUAAAAAAGGUUUUUAGUAUAAAUAUGAUUUUAUAAAGCAAAAAUAACAUAUUUCGAAACAAAAUUUUGGAAAAAUAUAUGUAAAAAAAACAAAAUUUAAGAUGAAAUUGUAACAAAAUUUUAAAAUAGGGACAAAAAUAUAAAAAUUGGACCAAAUUUAUAACAAAAUUUAAAAUCUGAGAAAAAAAUGUAAAUUUUAAAACUGGGAUGACCUUAUAGCCGGGAAAAAUGAUGAAAAUGAAUAUAUUUACCUGUAUUCGUAUCUUAAUUAAAAAAAUAAUAAUUUAAAUACUUAAUUGAAUAUAAGGUUAAAAAUAUAAACACUUUAUAGAUUUUCCUAUACUAAAUACUAUAGCAAAAUAUGUGGAAUUUGGUAUUUAGUAACUUUGGUCUCACUUUUGUUAAAUUUCUAUUUUCUAUCAUUUUACUUUUUGAAAAUUCGUUUUUACCUCUCGAUUUUUCUACUUAUUAACUUUGGUCCAUCACUUUUGUUAAGUUCUCAAAUUUUCAUCCUUUUUACUUUUGAAAUUGUUGCUUUUACCCCCUUUAACUUUCAACUUUCUAGAUACUCAACUCACUCAGCAUGAAGUAUAAGAAAAAAGAGAAGAGAGAGAGAGAGAGAGAGAGAGGAAGCAGCGGGCUGAAGAACCCACAUGAGACGUCUUCUGGCGGUAACCACCAAGGCGUGGAUUUGUUACCCUAGCCGUCGCACGACUCCGUGCACCCUUGGAGAGUAAUCAGUGUUAAAACACUAAGUUGCUUGAAAUAAGGAAUUUGAAGUUAAAUUGAAAAUUUAAAUGUAGAUACGAAAACACAUCAUCUUGCUAACUUGACAACUUAACGCCAUCUUAAGUGGAUACCAUAGAAUGACCCACGAGUGGCGAAUUUAAAAAAAGAAUCACAUGGUUCCUAAUUAAGUGAAGCCAAUAAAAAAAAUCAACAAUACUUUUGGAGUCGGGUCAGGUCGGCUCAUGUACCUUAAAAGAACUGAACAAGUUCAAUCGGCUCAUGUACCUUGUAACGACCCGUCUCUGGUAUGUUGUUUCCAUGUUAUUUAUUUAGAAGUUUUCAAGAGGGACUCGGGGAGUCUAUAGCCCGACUCGUCGAGUAGAGACGGGAUUUCGAGCACGUGUAAGUCGCCGACUCAACGAGUCCAUAUUCGAGACUCGGCGAGUCCGCCUGCUAGGAAGAAACCCUAAAUCCCCGGGUUUGCUCACUAUUUAAGCAAUGUUAUGUGCCCCAAACUCGCCUCCUUCACCCUCAGAGAGCUUGAGAGAAACCCUAAACCAUUCCUUGUAUGACUAAAGUGUUUUGUGUGGAUUCUUGAAGGAAAAAGAAGAAAGGACCCAAAAAGAGGAAGUGUAGAGCAAAGAUCCAAGGCCAAAGUCAGAGUUCAUUGAGGUAUGUCUCGGAAUUAUUCUGUUUUGUGCUUAAAACCUCCAUUAGAACACCUCUAAGGCUAGUUUAAUGUAUUUUCCAAGCUUUAUAGUUGUAUGGAUGCCUUGUUGGGUCGAGAUAUCCCUAGAUCUGUUCAUUUAGGAGUUUUAGAGCCCUGAUCUAGUGCCUUUUCGAAGUUUCUUUGCUUGAGAACCCUAGAUCUAGCCUUUAUUAUGCUUUUUGAGCCUUUUAAUCUUCAUGGGUGCAUAUGGGCACGUAAAGAUAGAAUCUUUACGUGUUAAUCGAGCUUAGGGAGCCCAGAUCUAUAAGUUUUAUGCGUUGGAUUCAAGCAGAAUCGAGUUUAUAGUAGCUGCAUGCAUGCGACUCGGCGAGUCGUUCUUCCGACUCGGUGAGUCGAGUCGUGAGUCCCCGAUUUUUCCUCUUUUGAGUAAUGCCGAGUGGGGACCAGUGAGUAGUAGAGUGGACUUAGUGAGCUGGAGGUCAGACUCAGUAAUGGAGGGACUCGACGAGUUGUUCAUACAACUCGGCGAGUCCAAGGCAAUCUUCUUAGCUCAAGAACAACUCGUCGAGUUGUUCAUACGACUCGGCGAGUCGGAUGCAGAUAGCUUGAGUUCUAGAAUCGAAAGGAAACUCGUCGAGUUUAUGCCAUACUCGACGAGUAGCAGCGAGUAGGGUUGAGAAGUGAGAAUAGGGACUAGGCGAGUUGGCGGCCCAACUCGGCGAGUCAGGUCAACUGUAGGUUGACUUUGACCAGGAGAGUUGACUUUGACCAGGGGUAAAAGAAUCAUUUUACCCCAAUACAGUGAUUAGUAUUUGAUUGAGUGUGUUUAUGGAAUUGUAGCCGGAGAGAUACCAGAGCAGCAGCAGAUAGCUUCCAGAGCCAUACAUUCAGCAGCCAGUUUACGAGGUGAGUUUCCUACCAGUAGGAACGGGUCUACGACAACAAUGCCGGCCCGUUUAGCUAGCAGUUAGUUCCGGACUUCGGUCCGAAGCAGUAGUUCAAGGUGCUUGAUGUUGUGUUUCGGGCAUGUCUAUGUGUUAUGUUAGCAGAUACGUGUUUAUGUUAUGCUAUGUUCAGACAGUUCCGGAUUUCGGUCCGAUGCAGCUAGUUCCGGACUCCGGUCCGAUGCAGGGGACAAGGUCCCAGUCAGUUCCGGAUUUCGGUCCGAUGCAGACAGUUUCGGACUUCGGUCCGAUGCAGUCAAUUCCAGACUUCGGUCCGAUGCAGUGGGCAAGGCCCAGUAUGUGCUUUAUUUGUUAUUGUGUGGUAUGCGGUAGUUUAGGGGAGCUCACUAAGCUUCGUGCUUACAGUUUCAGUUUUGGUUUCAGGUACUUCCGCAAGUAAAGGGAAGAACUCGGGAUGAUGCAUCGCACACACCACAACUUCAGUUUUUGUCGUGGGAGUUGAUUCAGUUUCUUAGAUAUGUUUUGAUACUGUUGUGACACAUUUUUUCUCACAGUAUUUUAUUAUGUGAUACUCAGUUUUAUGAUCUUUGUUAUAAUAUAAAUGAAAUUAUCGGGUCGUAUUUUUGGGAUGUUUCAAGUACCUUGUGCCACCGAUUAAAAAAAUUUUAAAAACCGAUUGAAAUAUAACUGAAAAAGACAUACAGCUUAACGAAAAACUAGUUGAUUAUUAGUCCAUUGAUAAAGCGGCGAACGCAGAGUGAGAGUCUUUGGCAUGUGGGCUUUCAUUUUAUUAGAACAACUUGUUUAUUUAUUAAUAUUUUGAGAGUGCCGAUUAAGAGUAGUUAACUUUUUAUUAUCAAUCUCAUAAUUUAAAAUAACAAAUUGUCCCUAAUAACUUAUAUUUUUCUCUUUUUAAAGUGGUUUUUUUUUUUAAAAAUAAAAAUAAAAAUAAACUCAAUGUAGGUUCUCUAUUUUUUUAAGACUAAAUUACACAGAUGGUCCCUGUGGUUGGCACGAGAGACCAAAGAUAGUCCUUAUGAGGAAUUUUGGACUUGUAUGGUCCCCGUGGUUCCAAAUUGUUGCACGAAGAGUCCUUAUGACAUACUCCGUUUAAUUGUUGUCGUUUAUUUAAAUCACGUAACCCUCACACGAGGGUAUUUUGGUCUUUUGCUUAUCCCUUCUCUCUCUCAUAUCUUUAUAUGAUCUGCAAAAGAUUUCCCUUCCCUAUAAAAAUUAAACCCCCAUCACUUCCUUCAUUAUUUUUCGUCUCCUCUAUUCUCUCUUCUCUCUUCUCUCUGCUGUGUCUUUCUAAGAAACUUUGCUUAAGAAUGGUAAAUUGUUUUUGUGGAACGCAAGCGGUGAUAGUGACAUCAUGGAUGGAUCUCAACCCAGGUUGUAUGUUUUGGAAAUGUCCUAGCAGUUGCGGUUUCAUUGCCUGGUUUGAUGAGCCGAUGUGUCGAAGGGUUGUGGCUGUCAUUCCAGGUUUGCUAAGAUCCAUGAACAAGCUUCAAGAAUCUCUGCUGCAAGCAAGUUUUGAAGCAAAAAAAGUGAAGAUGAUGCUAGUUUUUAGUUGGGUUUUCUUUUUCAUGUAUGUGUAUAAAAGAUGCUAAUAGUAUUAGUCUGGAGAUGAUGGUUCUUUUGCUUGUGGGUAGAUGAUGGUUCUUUUGCUUGUGGUUAGAAUCAGAUAAUAGUAUUAAUUUGAAGAUGAUUUCGUUUUGUUUGUUUGUGAUGCAAGAAAUGUUCGUAUGUAUGAAUGGAAUGCUUUUUAUUUGGGAAACUUUUAGUCUGCUACCAUUGUAAAAUAUUGGUCAGGAACUUAAUGAGUGUAAAAUAUUGGUCUGCAACUUAAUGAACCGUGCAGAUCCAUUAAAGUAUAAAAUAUGAAAGUGAAAGGUUUUUGUAGGCUUUAGACCAUUGUAGAGCCAUAACAACAUUAGAAAUGUUCAAAAAUAAAAUGCAAACUUUUGCAUAGUCAUAAAGUUCAUUACAUAACCUUAAAGUGCAAAGUCAUAAUACCAAAAAAAUAUCAAAAGAGCUUGCAGACUAAUGUAUCAUAACCAAAAGAACCAUCUUAGUCUAGCACCCUGUGUGAACCAUAAUACCAACAAAAGAUAAAGACACACAAUAACCAACUUAGUCUGACCUUUCUAAGGUACCAAAACAAACAACACAAAAGACCUUUCUAAGGUUCCAUAACAAACAACACAAAAGACAACAAAUCAAACUUUUUCCUUCAUUUUGGAUUUAUCCUUAAGUUUGGUUUUCUCCUUCAUUUUGGGUUUCUCCUUUUUUCCAUCUCCCUGCUUCUUUGCCUUGCUAAGCUUCUUGCCCCCUGCCACCACAUUUCUAACUUCAGUUUGUCCCCCUUGUCCCUUGCAACUCCUAGAGUUGUGACCCUUGUUAUUGCAUUUGCUACAAGUAACUGUAAGGAACUUCUUGGUCAAACUUUUACCUUGAUUAUUUGGUUCUUCAGUUUGAGCUCUCUUUCUCUUCUUUUUUGGUCUCCCCACCUGCAUAAUUAAUAAAUUAUAAAACAGUAUAAACGUAUACUAACUUGUAAAUUGAAAAUUAUUUACCUGUUUAGUAUGCUUAGGAGGUGUUAGUGUUAUGGGGAAAUCUGACUUUGGCCACAUACUUCUUCCAUUGAUAGGUUGAACUUUGUACUUGUACAUUUCAUUCCAUGUGCUUAACCUAUAACAUGGAUGUACCCACUCCUCAAGAGGUGGGACAUUUUUUCCCAGUGCCUGCAACUACAAUUCCUGUCCCUCCAAUUAACCACAAAUUGUUCCCCCAUUGUCCCAGUAACUUGAGUCUUAUCAGCACCAUUAAAUAUGCAAGUGUAUUGAGAAGCAUCUUUCUUAACUCCAUCUAAAAGUUUUGUGGCUGGGGGGGGGAGAGGGGCNUUAUCUAUCACAUUUUGCACAAUACAAAUUCGUUUCAUUAAGUAUUCCCUAAUAUAUUCUAAACAUGUAAUUAUAGGUUUGUCUCGAGCAUCUAACAACUUUGAGAUGAAAACUUCACAUAAAUUAUUCAACAAAAUAUCUGUAUGUGCUCUUCCUGUACAAUGCAACAAAAUAUCUUAUAAGAAUCUGUCAAAGUGUAAAUCUUCCUUGAAUCUGUCAAAGUGUCUAACUGUUGUUGCUGUUGCACAUUCCCAUAAAUGAUCUCUGUGCUCCUUCCCCCUCCAUUGUAGCUUCAUGUUUUCGUGAAUAUGUCUUAAACAGAACCUGUGUUCAGCGCUAGGUAAUAGGUUGGCAAUGGCAGAUAAAAUCCCCUAAUUAACAAGUAACAAAAAUGUUAUUUUCUAAAUGUAGUAGACAAAAUUACAAAGAUGUCAUGAACAAGUAUCAUAAGAAGAUUAACCUUUUGCCUGUCAGAAAUAAAUGUGAAGUUUGAAUUUGUAGAGAGCUCCAAAUCUUCACCUAGACACUCUAGAAACCAACUCCAUGAGCUUUUGUUCUCGGCUUCAACUAUGGCAUAUGCUAGUGGGUAGAUCCGAUUAUUGGAAUCAAGACCCACAACAGUGAGAACCUAUCCAGUGUAAGGUCCCUUCAUGAAAGCCCCAUCGAAACCUAAAAAAUCUCUUAAACCUGCCUUAAAACCCAGUUUUAAUGCACCUAAACAGACAUAAAUUCUCUUAAACAUCCUAGUUUCCAAGUCUGCAUUUGGUUCACUGUAUACAUCAAUCUUCACAAUUGUUCCUGGGUUGCACUGUUGUAAUUCUAAUACGUAAUCCCUGAGAAGGCUGUAUUGCUUUUGAUAAUCUCCAUAAACAUGUUUCUGUGCAAGUUGUUUAGCCCUAAAGACCUUCAUUCUUGACAUCCCCACCUCGUAUAUCUUUUGUAACUCUACACACAAAGCUUUGACUGGGAUAGUUGGGUUUCCUUCCACUUCUUGAAGAAUGAUGGUUGUAAGAAACUUAGGCCUCAUUUGAUAGUUGCCGAUUGAGAAAGUGCUGACUGAGAAAGGUCUGUCUGGGUAAGAAAUCCUGAUUGGGUAAGAAAUCCUGUUGUUUGAUUGUACAUCUGACUGAAUGUGCUGAGUGAUGAAAAAUGACCAUUUUACCCUGCUGUUAUAUAUAUAUAUUGAUGGAUUAAAUUGCUGAAUAAUUAUAAAAACAUACAUAUUGUCAUACAAAAUGUAAAUUACACACAAAUAAAAAAUGUCAUACAAAAUGUAAAUUAAACAUAAAUCAUUUAAUAUCCAAAUAAAAACAUAAUGAAAUUUAAAAUAACAUAAUAAUUUAAUGUAAAGUAGGUGAAAGUAGUCGAUUUGCAAUCUGAUCACGCAAAACACGCAUAUAUUCAACGGCUUCUGGACCCCAUUCUAUGCCUUGUAUGUUUUCUCUAUCAAUUCCCCCACCUUGGACGUCAGGAGUAACCAUAGUGUCCUCCUCAAAAUUUCUAAACAAGUCAUCUUCUAUAUUGUAUUUCCUUAUAAAAUUAUGGACCGCGACACAAGCAAUGACUAUGUCUCUUUGCACUGUAAAAGGAUAAGGAGCCAUUUGUUUUAAGAUUGGGAAUCUCGCCUUCAAUACACCAUAAGCACGCUCAAUAACAUUUCUAAGUUGUGCAUGAGCAUGAUUGAACCUUUCUUCUCUAGUUAAAGGUCUGCCUCUUCGAAAAUCGGCUAACCAAUACCUAGUAUUGCGGUAUGGAGCCAUAAACCCACGAGUGUUUGUAUAUGCGGCAUCACAAAGGUAAUAUUUAUCUGCAAACGAAUGUGACAUAUUAUAUAAUGACACAUAUUAUAUAAAGAAGAUAGAUAAUAAAAAUUAUAUAAAGAUUACAAACCUGGUGGAGGAAAUGGAAAUCCAGAAGUCGAAUUGAAUGCAACUUCUUUCAAAACUCUUGAAUCAUGUGCUAUACCCUCCCAUCCAGCCCAAACAAAGGUGAAUAUCAUAUCAAAAUCACAAAUUCCUAUUACAUUUUGAAAACAUUCUCCUUUUCCUCUUCCUCAAUAACGAGUUUGUUGAUCAACAGGUACAACCGCACGUACAAGAGUUCCAUCUAAUGCACCAAUUGCUCCGGAAAAAAUAUUUUUUAACCGUCUAUGUCGUUCUGAGUUAUGUCUUGUUGGGUUAGGAGUUGUUGGUACUAUAAUUUCUUUUGCAAAACACAUCAUUGCUGUUAGGACCUCGUGAAAACAUUGAUGAAUCGUUUGUGUGGAGUGAUGAAAUCUUCCCUUAACCGCGCGAAAACGUUCAUUAUGUCCUAUAACAUGUAAGAAGAUAGCCAUCUUCUCUUCAAUGCUUAUUGUCCUACUAGCUUGCAACCAAUUUUUUUGGGUAAAAUGGUUGCAUAGUAAUGCAAAUGCCUCUUGUGUAAGACGCAUCAUAUCGAAACAUUGUGUAGGGUCUCCGUAUAUCAAAUCUUAUGUAUACGCAUACCCGCUUGAAUCGUUAUCUCUAAUUCUAAGAAUUCUGAUUAGUCUGCGCCGGUUUGACCUCAACCAAUAAAACACAAGUAAAAGAAAAGCUACAACUUCACCAUCAGAAACCAUACUUGAUCUAUUACAAACAAUUAGGUAAUAUGUUAAAGUAAAAAAAAAAUCAUGCACCAAAAAAAUUAGUAAACAUCAUUAAAAGUAACAAAAGUCGUAUAACAAACGUUGUAUAACAAAAUACUAGUAAACAUCAUCCAAAAAAGUCAUCAAACUAUAUAACAGUAAACCAAAAAGUCAUCAAACAUAGGAUCCAAAAAACUAGUAAACAUCAUCCAAAAAAAGUCAUCAAACAUAGGAUCCAAAAAACUAGUAAACAUCAUAAAAAAAACUAGUAUCCAAACUUUUCUACCCGCACCUAUCAAAGGUAACUAUACUUCCUACCCGCACCCAUCACCCACGACUCACAACUACUAUGCGAAAGUCGUAACCAAACUUUUCGAACAUCAGCACUUUCACCAAAUAGCAAAAGAGCGGUCUUGUGUCUUUCAUCUUCUUCUCCCCAUUCCAUUUUGUUCAAUUUCUCCAUACACGCAUCAACAUCCUUAUCCAUUUCACUUUUUUCAAUUCUUUCAUUUUUUUUCCACUAAUAACCUUACAAUCUUGACAAUCUCCUCUUCAACUUCUAAUGCCCUUGCAUCUCUUUUUUUUCCACCAACUCUUUUGUUUCCACCAACUUCCUUAUUUUUGAACGCCCCGAAGAUUCUUCACUUGCACCUACGUGUUGUGUUGAGGUUUCCAUUAGAACAUCAUCAUCAAAAUCAUGGGGACUAAACUCUUCUACAGGACAAGGGAGUGUAGAAGAUGGCCCCCAACUUUGAGAUCCGGUUGAUGUCAACCCUUCAAAUAGUUGGGUGCAAAGAUCAGGGAACAAUAGGGGUUUAGUUUUCAAUGACAACACGAACUUGUUCAACUGUUUACAAUUUUUAUAAAUAUUAGUAUAUGUUAUAAAAAUAAUCAUAAUAGUAUUGAUUAAAAAAAUAAAUUUAAUCAAAUAGUAUAUGUUAUAAAAAUAAUCAUAAUAGUAUUGAUUAAAAAAAUAUUACCUUCCCCUCUUCUUUCCAUUGUUCAUCGGUCAAAUUAAAUUUAUUUUUUAUAGGAUCAUAUAUAUUGCCGGUUUUGUUUUUGAGUUUCACCCAAGCAACAUACUUUGAUUUGUAGUAGUCAAAGUGGUUUCUCAUUUGCUUCUGAUCAACCUCUUUACCGUGUUCGUUUAUCAAUUUUUCGCGUAUUGUCUUCCAUGAACUUGCCUUAAGCCCAGAACCCUCACGACCAUUAGUGGUUAGUUCAUGGAUACAUGCAUCAAGAAAAGUUUUGUCCUCACUCUCGUUCCAAACCAACAUCCUAAAACAUUAAUAUUUAAAGUAAUUUAUCAUAGUUUUUAUCAAGUUAAAGAACAAUUUUAAACAUAAAGCAAUUUUCAACCAAGGAAGUUAACAUCAUCCUAAAUUAUGAUUUGAUAACUUAUACACAAACAAUUUCAGAUGUCACAAAACAUCAAUAUUCAAGCUAACAAUUUCACAAAAGAUAACAAGCUAACAAUUAAGGUCAACAAUAUCAAAGCUAUAAAAUUAGAAAGAAAAAAAAAACAGCCCAAUUUUUGAUUUUAUAGCUUAUACUUUUGAUACUAAUACAAGCUCAAUAAUUGGAAGACAUGUGAUGUUGCAUGCAUUCCCCCUCUCGCCCACUCUUCAAGGAACAAUUGGAUUAUUAAAAAAGUUAGGUUACCAUUAAUCUUAUAAUAAUUAUUUAUUAUUAAUUUUACUUUUGUACUUUACACAUAAAAACACAACNAAAACCAAAAAAAUAAAAAAAAAAAAAAAAAAAAAAAAACAGCCCAAUUUUUGAUUUACAAACCUACUUGUAUUUUCCAAUUCACAUUCAAUUUCAAUUCACAAGCUAUAAAAUCAAAAUUCAAAAAAAAAACCUUCCAAUUCACUUUCAAUUUCAAUUCAUAAGCUAUAAAAUAUGAACCGGAGAAAAAAACUUCCAAUGUGAAUUGGAGAAAAAAACUUCAAAUUCAGAAAAAAAAACAAAAAAACAAAAACAAAAAACAACUACCAAUUCACAUUCUAUUUUAGAAUUCAUAACAUUAGAAAAAAAAACCUUCAAUUUUCAGUUCUUAUACACAAAGAACUACAAAACAAAACAUAAACAAACUUCCAAUUCACAUAUAAUUUCGAAAUUCAUAUAUUAGAACAAACAAUUUCAGAUUUCAGUUCUUGUACACAAAGAACUACAAAAAAGAACAAAAAAAGCUUAUCAUAUGAACAUACAGGUUGAGAAUUCAUAAUAUUCUAACAUAUACUAAUUUGAUUUCAUAAAGAACUACAAAUUUCAUACCAUCAAAGCAUAAAUGGUAUCUGAUUUUGAAAAUUAUUAACAGAAAAAUUAUCUAACCUGUGUGAUGGAUCGAGAAGGCGUCACUGAUGGCGGUGGCGGAGGUCCGACGAGAUGGCACAGGUCCGACUGGUCGGACUGUUUGGCGUUCAAUGUUGUGGAGUUCUUCCUAGCGGCUGCUGUGCUUUUAGGUCACUAGAAGGGAAGCGAAUGGGGAAAGAAAUAAUAACGACGCAGGGGCAAGAUAAGGGCAAGAUUGUCUAAUUUCCAGUCAGCAACUGUUUAAAAACUGAUCCAGAAAGCGAUUUGGGUCAGCAGAUCUUACCGAGAAAGCUCAAAUCAAACACCAAAGGUCUGACCGAGUCAGCCCAAUUUGCUGACUCGACCCAGUCAGACAUUUAUCAAACACUCCCUUAGAAGUGCACUCUUUAAUAGACCUUGACUGCACACAUCUAUGCUCAUGAACCAAAGUUUUCACCAUCCAAUCGCUUUCUUCAUCAGAUCUAGAAAUUAAUACCACCCAAGGGCAUGUUGCUUUUUGUGAGCUGACUGUUUUAUCCUUGCAUUUGAUUCUACUUUUUGUCCAUGGCCCACCUGUCAUUUUCGGGACCACACCCCUGCAUUUUGCCCUAAUUCUUUUUUUUUUAUCAUUUUUUGAAAAGUAAAUGUUUCUCCUAGUUCGAAUUGAAUGCAUUUUAAUGUAGUCCUUCACUUCUGAUGAGGACUUAAAUAUUUGACCCAGAUGGAAUGCAGUUUCAUGUACUACUCCUGAUGAACAUGUGGUUGGUUUGUUUAACCUUCUCAUUAAUUUCUUCCUCUCAUCUUCUUCUACACCAGUUGAUUCAAAUAAUUGUGUAUCUAUCACCUCCAAAUCCUCAUCAACUGUGACAUCAGGUGCAUUGAAUGAUUGGUGGUUAUCUAGAUUUGGAAAAGAAUAAACACCACUGUGGAAGUCUUUCAUAUUCACUUCGACAUCCUCCACCAUAUUAAGUUCAUCCACUAAAAAGUCACUAUCGUCGCUUAUACUUCCAUCGGUACUAGUCUCAUCACUAAUAACAUCUCCAAUUUCUUCAUUUUCCCCCAUCUGUUGGUAAUCAUUAUGAUCCAUAUAAAAGAAAGGAUCAAAGUCUUCUGAAGGGACAACAUCUUGGGCUUUGUUAAGCUCCUCACUUGCAGGAUGAACUCGAACAUCUUUCACUACAUCUCUAUCAAAAUGUCCAAAAGGUACAACAGACCUAGAAAAGUCAUAGUUCUCAUUCAAGUCCAUUUUUCUACUACAUGAUCCUACCUUUGUACUUGUAAACUUUUUUCGAUUGAGUUCCGGAGAAAUAGGCUCAUUGAUUUCUUCCGAUACGACCUUAUUUGGAGAUAUAAAGUAUGCAUGGAGUCUAGUAGUUCCAUGUUCAGUAUACACCAUAAUCUCUUUAUGAUUAGCAACAUGCUUACUUAACAAAAGUACGUCUGAGUUGUUACCUAAAGGAAGUAACCCAUAAUCGAUUUCAAUCUCAGGAAUCAAGAAGUGGUAGUAGAUAGGCUCACCGUUGAUAUAACCUAUCUCCUUCAUCAUAUCGUCUAACUCAUGUACGGAAAACACGUCCAUGUCUACGUAGUCAACAUAGUCAAUACUCCCACCAACGUAACGUCUUCCUGGGUAUUUUGUGAACAUACCCCCAUGGUGAAUCUUGAAUGUGCAAAAACUACUUAACUCAACUGAAAAACAAAUAAAUAAUGAUAUGAGGAAAGAAUGAAGUCUCAAAAUUGAAUGUGCAUAAAUUACUUAACAAAAUUGAAAGUUGUUAACUGAUCACUCACCAUAAGCUUUGAUCAGGUCAGGAUUUUCUGAGAAUUUUGAACGGACAUUCCACAAAGUUAGAACGAUCGCAAAAGAUGAAAAUGAAAACCCUAGUUUCCGUUUGAUGUUUUGAAGUGAUGAAGAUGAAAAACCAGAGGAGAAAAGAAAGGGAUGAUUUCUUGGGGUAAUGUAAAUGGCAGCUAGAUGUAAGGAUCAUUUAUGAAUAUGAUCAUUUCGUGUAACAAAGCAAAAGACCAAAAUACCCUCGUGUGAGGGUCACGUGAUUUAGAUAAACGGAAACAAUUAAACGGAGUAUGUCAUAAGGACUAUUCGUGCAACAAUUUGGAACCAUAGGGACCAUACUCGUCCAAAAUUCCUCAUAAGGACUAUCUUUGGUCUCUUGUGCCAACCACAGGGACCAUCUGUGUAAUUUUGUCUUUUUUUAAAGAUAGUUCAUAAUUUUUCUAUUAUAUACAUUGUAAAUGAAAUUGAGAACUUAAGUAGGUCCUAGGACCUACCUAAGCACAUGGUGGAUACGCCCCUGUUACCCACACUAACCUCAUACACUUACAACACAAAUGAACUUGAACGGUCUAAGACCAAACCAAGAUAUAAUAUGAAAUGUGUAAGUAUAGUUUAAUAGAUGAAAGUGAGGUGUUGUUUGGGCUUGAAAAGUAGGGGUGAGCAUGGUGCGAUUUUUUGAGAAAACCGAACCGCAAACCGCAAGAUGCGGUUUCUAUAGGGUAAAACCGAUAGGUGUGGUUUUUGUUUCGGCGUGGUUUUACAUGCAUUUUCGGUGUCAUUCGAUGCGGUUUCGGUUUUUAACUGAAAAUAUGUGUUGGUGUGAUUUUUCAUACAUGUGUUGAUCUACCAAAGAAGUAAUAACCCCUAAAGAAGCUAGAGCAAGGCCUAAUUGAAAAUGAAGCCAAUUAUUAAUUGUGUCAUAAAGACCCUCAUGCCCACGUCUCAAUCGCCCUCUUGGAGGGAUAUGUGCAUCUAAAAGAUCUUUCAUACUGUGCCCAAUCCCAAAAUUAGUUCUAUACAUAUGCCCAACAAUAAGAAAAAGAAAUGCAAUAGCUAAAUAAUGAUGAGUCAUAUCAGCAUGUCCAAACCCGACUUUUCAGUUAACUUUCCUUUAUUUCCGGUACAGAUUCUCAUUUAAAUGUAUUUAACAUGCUUGUGAAAUAGUUAUAUGUUAUUCUUAUCAAAAUAUAGACUUCUUUAUGAUAUUACGAUUUUGAGAUUUGAAUUAUAUGUUUGAUGCAACAAGGGAUUUGGUUUUAUAAUCUCAAAUUCCAUUACUUAAUCAUUAUUGUUUAUACAGAUAGAGGCGGCUUUUGAUUCGAAUUGCAUUUUGCUUGUGAUAAGCAAAAGGAAAAUUGUUAAUGGUACGCACUUUGAUACAAAUGUCAAAUUUUAUAAAAAUAUAGCAAAACAUAAGGCAUGCACAGUGGCAAAAAGAACUGAAGAGGUCGAAGUUGAACAAAAUAUACUUUUAUUAAUAAGUAUUAUAAUAUAUUAAAUAUUGUCAGGUUUUUAUGGUGCUGUUUGGCAUUGUCCAAACCGCACCACACCGAAAAAUUACCAAUUAAGGUUGGAUUGGAAUGCAUAAUUAUCAAUUUAUCCUUAAUAAGUCAUAAAUCAACAAAAAUGGCCCAACAAUUUUCUUAAUCUUAAUUGUUGCCUUUGGAUUAGAAAUCAUCAACGAUCAAGAUUGGUUCUCACAAUUCUCUAAUCUCUACUUUUAUGUUGUUUUCAUUUGAACUCAACCCAAAAAUCUCACCAGUAAUCACCACACGAACAAAUCCCGUUCUUGAAAUGAUGAAACCUAUUUGUAUCCCGAAGAAUAAUUUCCCGCUCAACAAUCUUGGAAAUAAGCUUAGCAGCAAUAUGACAAUCCUCACAAACACGUAGAUUUUUAGUAAUCCGUAUAGGCGUAAAAGCUUUAGUAUUUAUAAUCACAAACACAAUAGCAAGCUUCUCACUAUGAACAGCAAGAUGAUUUCCUUUAUCUUCAUCUUCUAUAUCAUGAAGUGCAGAAUCCACUUCAGGAACAUACCCAAAAUCCCUCAUCUUCCCCACAAGUACUUCCAACUCUUGAUAAAUCUGUUUAGAUUGUGGAUGGGAUUGAUCUCCAGCAAGAAACGAAUGAACUUGAUUAUUAAGCUCAACAUUACUAACACCGGGCUCUUUUUUCACUCCUUUUGAUUUCAUUAUUGAACGAAUAUUUGUCACAUCUUUAAAUCUACCUGCUUUUGCGUAUAUAUUUGAUAAUAAAACAUAAUACCCUGCUUGUUCAGGGACCAAUUCAAAGAGAUGAUCUGCUGCUACAAGACCAAUUUCCAUGUUGGAAUGAACUUUACAAGCACUUAACAAAGCACCCCAGAUUCUAUCGUUUGGUUUUGUUUUCAUUUUCUUUAUAAAAUCAUAAGCUUCAUUGAUUCUUCCUGAUCUUCCUAGCAAAUCAACCAUGCACGCCAAGUGUUCGAGUCUUGGAAUGAUGUUAUACUCUUCGGUCAUCAAUUUGAAGAAAUGUUUUCCUUGGUUUAGUAAUCCGGCAUGGCUGCAGGCUGAUAGAACUGGAACGAAGGAAAUGGAAUCAGGGGCGAUUCCGGAAUUUUGCAUAUUUGAAAAGACUGUGAUAGCAGUUUCACCAUCUCCAGUCAUGCCAUAAGCAGAGACCAUGGAAGUCCAGGAGACGACAUCUCUUGUUGGCAUUUCAUCGAACACCUUGCGUGCUUCGUUUAAAGACCCACAUUUAGCAUACAUGUCAAUCAAGGCGUUCUCUACUGUUAGAUUAGGAAGAAGCCUUUUUGUUUUUACAUAUGAAUGAAUCUUUCUUCCUAGUAAUAAAGCUGAAAGAUCUCCACAAGCGGGUAGGAUGCUAGCAACUGUGAUUGAAUCCGGGUCGAUUCCGUAAUUCUCCAUUUGUUGAUAAAGAUUAACUGCAUCUUUAGGCAUCGAGUUGUUGACGUACACAGCUAUCAUGACAUUCCAAGAAAUUAAACUCUCUCGAGCGUGAUUCAUGAACAUUUCUUUCAUAAACAUCACGUUGGUAGAUGAAGUAGAAGUUGUUAAAGCAGGGGAAAGGCUGGCCAUGGUGCCUGCGUUGGGUUUUGAGGUAGAACAUUGCAUCAUUGUCUUACAAAUCUCCAAUGCAUCUUCAAACAUCCGGUUUUGGGCGUAGGCAGCAACCAUAGCAUUCCAGGAGACGAUAUCUCUACUAGGCAUUUCAUCAAACACCUGGCGUCCUUCCAGUAACCGGUUACAUUUUCCAUACAUUGUAAUCAAUCCAUUCCCUACAUAAAGAUUUGAAUGCAGACCCUUCUUGAGAACAGCAACAUGGGUUUGUAAUCCGACCCACAAAUUCUCAGACACGGAACAUGCUUUUAGAACUUGAGGAACUGUAAAAUGAUCAGGGUUAAUGUUGAACUUGAACAUGUUUCUGUACAUACGAAGUGCUUUUUCGUAGAAUUCAUUGUUUACGUAGCUUCUAAUCAUCACAUUGAAGAAGACUACAUCUUUUUGAGGAAAUUCAUCAAACAGUUGGCGGGUAACUGCGAUUUGGCGACAUUCAGAAUAAGCUUUCAUUAAUUUCAGAGCAAUAUGCGAUGCUGAGACGAGGUUUCCAUCAAUAAUUAACCUACAAUGUAUCUUUUUCAAUUGUUUGAUAUCUGGGCACUUGUCCAAGAUUUUGAUACACAAGUCUUCUGUGAUUAACAUGAUUGUUAAGGCGAGAUUUGAAUGAAUUUGAACUUAUAUUCCUUUCGCCAUGUUGUACCUGAGGGGCAAUCAAAUAGAAUGGACGAAGAUAACGAAGGUUUACUUGGUGGUGUUCACUUAAAAACAAGAAAUAUGAAGUUCUAAACGCUAUUUCUUGUUAAACAGAAAAUAUUUUGUCCAAUCUAAAAAUCCAAUUUUUGAGUAAGUUCAAGCUUAAGCUCAAAAAUAGUAAGCAAAACAUGUUUAAAAAAUAAAAGUUCGUUUGAAACUCUUUGGAUAGCUCGAGUAUAACAAUCAUCAUAAUUAUAGUCAAUAAAUCAGGCUCAAACAACCAAACUUGAUGUCCAGCCCUUGAUCAUCCAAUUGCCAACUGAAAUCAACUUAGUUUCCGGUUUUAGAAUCGCCCUAACAUUACAUAAGCACCAACUAGUUCCAAAAGUAGUUUUUAAUUCAAUGUCUCCCAUACCCGUGACUUCAAGGGUUUCCAUGUUACCCAACCUUACCAACUUAAGAUAAGUUCUUUACUUCAAUUACUAUAACAGAUCGAUGAGUCAUGUUCUAAUGACCUCUCGUCAUAUGAUGCAAUGCUUAGACUCGAGUCUUUUAAAGUCAAAUUCUAUAAUGAAAUAUACAUUCCUUCAAGUUUCUAAUGUGAUAUAAUCACAUUCUAGCAUGUAUCACUUCUAGCUACAAGCUUCUUACUUUAACAACAAUCACAAUACUUCUAUUGAUCGCUUUGAUUAUCUUUCAGUUCAAUCUUCUGGCUUAAGUCAGAUGCUACAUCGAUCUUGGUUCUCUGAACCACGUACAAUACUUAUCCUAGCUGUAAUCGAUUUGAUAUGACCACUAGGGUCGGAAUAACAAUCAUCUUCUUAGUCAUUACCGAAAUUAUGGUAAUGACACAUGAACAAAACAGAAUCAAUUACUAGCGUCUUGGUAACUCGUGACUUUCCCUGAUCCAAGUGCGAGUCGUGUGCUUCCAGUAGUAUAUGCCUCUACUACCUUUCACACCUACUCAUACUUGUCCCAAGUAUUGUCUUUCAGUUCUCCAAGUCACCAUAAAAGAAUUUCACAUAGUCAUUUAACACAUCGAAUAACAAAACUAAGGUUUAUAUUAUUUCUUGAAACGAUUACAUAGAUAUUCAAGUUCACCUUAUACCAUGCCUUUUAUAUUAGGCUACACCACAUGAUACUAUCUAUAUGGCUACUUUAUAUCUCGAUCUUCAGAUAUAUAUAGAUCCCUACUCCUAAUCCCUUGUAUCGUCACCUGCUUCAUCCAGGUUAGACUUCGAGAAUCUUCCUUUCUUAUCGAAUCUUGAGGAUCCCUCAAGCUUCUUCUUUUCUCAUGCCUUGUCUUAUUCCAGACCCUUUUUCCUAAAUUAGGUUUCCAUAUUCUUGGUUGCUCUAACGGUUGUCUUCAAAGUAGUUGCCAUUUUUACCAUUGCGCCAAAUUAUGCUGGCAAUCCGUUAGCAAAACUAUCUAUCUUGGAGAGUUCAGUAGCACCAAGUAGGGGAAUAACUUCAUCUGCUCGGUGAAUACGGUGACAUACUCAUCAACACUCAUCUUCCUUUUCUUCAAGUUCGAAACUCGUUGUUUAGGUCUAUCAGAUCUAUCUCUGAGCAGUAUUGCAUUUUCAACUGCUCCAUGAAUGCUUCCCACCUCAGGGCUUCUCCCCCAUGGCUUUGUAUCUGCCAAUAACUUCCACCAACUUAAAACUCUGGUCUUUAGUUGUCUGACUGUAAAGACGGUUUUCUGCUUGUUGCUGCAAUUGCAACUUUCAAAUGUCAUCUCUAUCUCGGAGAUCCAAUCCAUGAUCUCUACUGGCUUCGGGCUUCCAGAAAGACUUGGUGGUUUGGCACCUAAGAAGUUCUUAUACAUACGUUCAUCCUUAUCAAUCGCUUUUUUCGGGUCGUUCCUCCUUGCCACUCGGGGUUCAGCUUGACUCACUGUACGACUGUAAUUUCCCUCCUCCGACAAUUCUUCAUUCAGUUCGGGUUGCACGAUAGGCACAAUAGGUUCAUCCCUAUUAUCAAGAAACAUUUUUCUCAUCUCCUCCCUUUGUUCGGCCAUCAUAGCCCAAAUCAUUGCUUAGACUCUUGCCAUCGUGAUUGGCUCGGGUGCAGCUACUACCUCUGGUGCACAUUUAAUCACUCGUGGUUCAGGCUGUUAGUUUUCAUUAGCAUUUUCUAAUAUGUUGCGAGUUCUCACCAUUUCGAUCUAUACACUCUAGAGAUGUUCAGUGUACAGUGACGAGAAUUAAGAUAUGGAAAGCUUUAUUUACGACAGCCAUAUAAAUCUUCUUAUCACUCGUAAAAGUUAUAUACUAGUUCUAAUACCGUAAUUAAAUGUUUGGAAAUUUUGAGCAAAUGACGGUUCAUCAACAAUAGAGCGAAUCUCAUUUAGGAAUUCGUUGAUAGGUCGAUUUCCUUUAGGAUUUUUAGCAAGUUUGGAUUUUAAAGAGAUGAUUCUUGAGCAGGAGGUGCUGGCAUAGCUUGUGUUGAGAUGCUUUCAUGCUUCUUUUGUGGUAAAUACAGAGGUAAUGAUAGGUUGAAUGAAUUGCAUCUGAGCAUGAACCAAGAAUUGCAUCGAAUACUACAUGAUCUUGGCGAUAGCAAGUCGUGUAUUCAUGAUUAGGUUUGGAUUUGUCUUUGUCGAUAAUGAAUUUUGUGGUAGGAUCAGUCACCCAUGUGAUGUAAUCUUCCAGACCUAGUCCAAUAAAUGUGGACUGCACUUGUCGCCUCCAUACAUGGAAGUUGUUGGUGAGUAAUUUGGUAGGAAAGUGACUUGAGGCGGUGAUUUGUAUUUGGGAUGAUUGUGUCAUGGUGAUGUUGAUGAAAAGGAUUAGAGGAGAAAGGCAAGAUGAUCGAUUGACUCUUUAGAGUGUGUGUGCUCUGAUACGAUAUGAGAUUUGAGAAUCAAUGGGCUCGAAUGAAUAAUUUCAUUUACAAAGAUCGAUACAUAUAUAGAUGGUAACGAGAGUUAAAGAGCUAUACAUGGAAUUUACUAAGAAUAGAUUGCAAUUACAUACAAAUAGAAGAGAUUAUUGUAGAUUAGUCAUGAAGAUGUGUACGAUGUUAUAGUUAGAUUGCUUAUUUGCAAUCCAUGUUAGCUAAGUAUGUCAUGUUGAAUACAAAUUGUAUUAAAACAUUAAAGUUCCAACCAUUAUAUGUUGAAGAAGAAGCAAAUACGCCUUAGUCACACCCAUUCUAAAUGAUAUGGAUGUUAUGGUUGUCGUUUCUAUGCAACCAAAUCGUGAUUCCAAGUUGCAGUUGUCUUACCAAUAUAUCAUGUUAGGAAAAGAUGACAUAGCAUGAAAUAUUGUAUGUUACAACAAAAAGAUAUAUCUUAUAGAUGUCUUGCACAUGGGUUAUUCCUUUUUAAGCACUUAUAUAAAAAUAAUAUCACGUAUGUAUGAUAUCUAUUUUGAGAGAUUUUUAGCAAGCAACUCUUUGUCUAUUAUUGUUAUUGGAUAGAAAAAGUAUCAUCUUCGUUGGGAAGAUUUUACUAGGAUUAGAUUCAUAAUAGUUUGUCAAAGAUUUUACUAUUAUGUAUUUAUAAACCCAUGAAGUUUUCUAUUAAAUAAAUAAAUAAAUAACCAUUCACCAUUUAUAUCUUUUUGGAAUAGAGUUUGUUAAAUUCUAAUAUAAAUAAAAAGAGUAUUUAUUUAGAUUCACACAUUACAAAAUUACAAACUCCAAGCAUAAAUCCGAAACUUAUUUUUAAACUUCUUCAUUUAUAUUACAAGUUUUAUUCUUUUUUCCCAACCCACUUGGGGUUUCGAAACCCUAAAAAAGUUCUAUCCAUGGAAGUUCAUAUUUAUUUCUUAUCUUAAUGAAUUUAAGGUCUAAAUCAAUAAAUGGCAAUGUAGAAUUAACCGCAUAUAUUAAGUUAUUUUUGGAAGCUUUCCAACACAACACAGAAAGGAAAUGAUGAGAAUUUAUGGUACCAAAUAACAAAAUAAUCCCGGUUCCUAUAAAAAUUUAUUAAAGCUCUACUCAUGAUUUCAUAAUCUCCUCUAAUAUGAGGGUUACGUUAUUGUAAUAAUAACUAUGAUAAUGUAAAAGCCAUAACAUAAAUCGUCUUAAUUUAAGAAAUAAUAUAAAUCCCAAGAUAUUGUUUUUAAAAUAAAAAGGAAAAAAGUGGGAGUCCAUUAGAAGGAGCCAAGCUGAUUAUUUGAGCCAAGAGAGCACCGAUUUGUUAUCCUUCCACUGUUCGAAGCGAGAGGUUAUCGCAGCUCUGUGAAGCCAGCCUAACGCAUUGCCCUCUGCUCUAGGAACCAAGAAGCCCAAGCCUUCGCUCAAGCCACUUGAUCCAACUCCGAACUUGGAACGGGCAAACCAGAUUUUGCAACAGCUUUGACCCAACCAAACAAGGCUCGAUCUCAGUCCAUCCCACUUUAGAGCCCUCACUUGAGUCACAAGCUCGC